UUUUUUUUUUUUUUUUUUAUCGAAAAUCAAUUUGAUUGCAUUAACUUGAUAUCACAAUGUUUGAUACAACAUCUCUACUUCCUUUGUAAUCAUUUUGUGCACUCUCCUAAAGCCACAUGAAAAAAUUUCCUUCUCAUUCAGCAUUCCUAACUAGUUGAACAACCAACUUUGCUAACCAAUAUGCACACUUGUUUCGAAUAUUCAAAUUGAACCCCUUUGAUUGGUAAGCAUCCAAAAAAGUUGUUUAUGCUUGGAUCUUUGUAUGUAAACACGUCUUGACUAAUGGUAAUUGUCAAAAUUUUUGAAAGUUUAAUUUUACAAUCAUUAUGGUUUUAUCACCGGACGUCUCUUUUGUUUGUCGUCCAUAUUUGCAUUAAAAGAGCCAAAGUUUUCGAGGUUCAAAACUUAAGAGAUAUAUAUAUGUGUGGGAGAAGAGAAAUAAUACCAAAAAUAAUAUAUUAAUCACACACCAUAAAAACAAUGCUAAUGCUUUCAAAUUCAACGCUCUCAAAUUUUCACUCUUCUUGACUAAUAAUAAUAUUAAGACUCCCCAUUUAAAGAUUAGAUGAUUUGGUAAACAAGUCUUACAAUCACCAAAAACUUUCUAAUAAAAUAUUAAUUUCUAAAUAAUGAAACUACCAUAACUUGACUCCAAUAGUAGUAUUACUAAAAUCUUAAUUUGAUUAAAAUAAUGUUAAAUAAUUAUAUGAAAAUUUCUAUUUUUUUAGGACUGAUUUAAUAUGCCAGCAUUGCCUCCUUUAAAUCAAGAUUUCGUGGUUUUACAUGAUGCCCUUGAUAUUUAUGUAACGCAUUAUUUUGCAAUUUUUGUCCUGGUUAGGCAAGUGAGUGCCAUGGAAUAUUCGAUUGCCAUACGAUUUUUAACUAAAAAGAAACCGGUUUAUCCAGCUGAUGGGACCAUCCCACGUCUUCGUCCAAGUAUGGUUUUCGUGGUGGGGAAUGAUCCAUUUCUCCGCAAAAAAGUUUCUCAAUUUGGUUUGUAACAUAUUACUUGUAAAUUAAAUUGAUCUUUCAGAGCAUUUAUUUCUGCAUGACUUUGAUAACUGUACUGUCCAGUGAUGUGUUUUACCUGUAUUACUAUGACUCUGAUAACUAGGUGUUCUAACUAUGGCCCGUUUGUCUAAGUAAAUUUUUUAAGUGUUUAUCUAAAAUUUUACUGUAAUUUACUAUAAAAGUUUUUUAAAAAUUUUUUGAAAUAGGUAAACUUUUGAAUAUUUUGAAGUGCAUAGUUUGAAAAUUUUGAGAAAUUUUUUUAGGUUACUGUAGCUAAAAGUUUCAAAAAACUUGUAGCAGACAAACUUGGUAAAAAACUCAAGUACCAAACAGGACCAUACAUUGACAAUAUUCACACUAUUACUGCUGGAUCCGUGAUACAUGUAUAAAAGUUCGAUUUUAAAUUUAAAUCUUACAUAAUUAUAAUUCAUCCGAUGUAGGAAAGAUUUUAAUCCUAUUUAAUUUUAAAUACAAUAAGUUCUCCUCUCUUCAUCAGUAUUCACAAGAAUAAUAAUAAUGUUAACUUUAAAAAUUUGUCACAUUUGGUCCCAUGGCAGGAGUAAUGAUGUGUGUGACAUGACAUAUGAUUGUACGAGUAAAAUUUUUCCAAACCCUGGAUACCUUUAUGGUGGGAACAUGCCUAUGGUAGGAAGGCUGGCAGAGAGUGACACGUGUUGACGUUAUAUACAGUCCAAACAGAGACGUUUAAUUGUUGCACAACGCGUGAAGAGGAAAUAUACGAGAAUCGUCUGCGGAUGCAACCAUAAAGCACUGGCUUCCGUACGAGUUGGGCCAGAAAGUGUUAUUGCAUGUUAAAAUCAGAGGCAUUUAUGUAUUUGCAAAUAUACCUAUUACCAAUGGAAAAAUGUUGCAAAUGCCUUGGACAAAAAAUGUGCGUAAAGAAGGUACCGAAAUUUUAAGAAAUAAUAAAUGAUUAUCGGACACACGUGGAGGAUAAUAAUUUGGAAGAAGGAAAAGUGGAGGUAAACGAAAGGAUUCAAGCCUUCAUUAUAUUUAUAUACAUAUAUAAAUUUAGUACCCAAGUGUUCAGCUUAAGCAUCCGAGAAAAUGGUCCCAUAACUAUCGAUAUGGUAAACAACACAGUUUUAGACAUGAUAUAAUAGGUUCUAAAAAUUUUAGUGACCAUUUGAUUAUCCGUUAGACCUAUCCACUUGAAUAGGAUUACGGGUAAAAAUAAGGGAGUAAAUUUGUCAUUCAAAAUAGUAAAUUAAUGUAAUAAAUUAGUAACUUUUGCAGUCGAAAAGGUAAAUUGUAAUUAAUAUGAAACAUAUUUUUUAAACAGAUAAAUUAUAAUAGUAUAUCCCAAAUAUACUUUUGAGGGAGUAAGUUUAUUUGAAGUAAAAAUAUGUUUUUAUACAUAAAUAGUGAGUUUUAGUUAUAACAUAGUAAAUUUGAUUAAUGACAAAAACAUGCUAAUUUAUGGCCAUAAUAUUGUAUUAUGCUUAAAAAACUUAUACGUAGCCCAUAUUUUAGAGUUAUUUAAAAUAACAUAAAAAUGUAUUAUUAAUGAUUAAAACUGAGUACGUUACUUAGUCAGUACAGUUAUUAUACUUGUAUACAUACUUGAUGGUAUGUGUAUAAAUAAGCAUUUUUGAGAUUUAUGGGGAAAAAUUGAUUUUUUCUUUUGCAGUUUAAAAAAAAAGGUAAGAGAAAAUCUUUUUUCUUAGAGCACAAAAAUCCACAAGUCAAAAUUGUUGGUCUAAAGGGGAAAGAAACAUUCUGAAUAUCAUUGUUUAUAGUACUAAAUAAAUUAGAUGUAAAAUGCUCGUUAAAAGUUGGUGCGUUGACAUAUAAUAAAGAAAAGACAUAAAGAGCGGGCCAUUUACAGAAAAAGUUGUCAUUCAUAAAAAUAGCAACGCUUUACGAUUUUUUUAUCAGUCUUGCAACGUAUGAGCAAAAUGGCAAUAAUUAAAAUAGUAUUUAAUUCGAAUUAUACAUAUUUCAUUAAUUUUUUCCAUUUAAAAAAUGAAUGAGAAUCUUUUAUGAGAAAGCACAUAAGUCAAAGAAAUGGUGUAAAAGGGAAAAGAAUAGCAUAUACGUACAGUACCUAUAGUUUAUGUUCGAAGAACUGUAGUGCUAUUUUUGAAAAAUAUCCCAAAAAAUAUGUAAUUGAAAUGGAACCGAUUCUUCACUAUUUAAAAUAUCAAAUCUGUGAUUGUGUUGUAACUGUUAUCCAUUGGUAUCGUAAAGUAUCAUUUUCCCGUCAAAUUUCACCUCUUUAACACCAAUUUUCUCAUAAACCAAUUCAUUUAUCGGAUAAAAUACAUGAAAAUUCAGUUUUGAAUAAAACAGUAGCUGUUUAUGACUUUCCUCUAUUAUAUGAACAGAGUACCCAUUUUUGCAUAAACAAAUUUAUUUAUCGGAUGAAAUAAAAAUAAAUUCAUUGUUCAAUAAAACACUAAUUCUUUAUGCCUUUCCUCUAAUAUAAAAACAGAGCACCCAUUUCAGCCCCUCUACAAAAAUUCCACCUCUUUAACACCAAUUUUCCCAUAAAUCAAUUUAUUUGUCGGAUAAAAUACAUGAAAAUUCAAUUUUUCAAUAAAACACUAGCUCUUUAUGGCUUUCCGCCAUUAUAAGAACAGAGUACCCAUUUUUGCAUAAACAAAUCUAUUUAUCGGAUGAAAUUAAAAUAAAUCCAUUGUUCAAUAAAACACUAACUCUUUAUGGCUUUUCUCCAUUAUAAAAACUGAGUAUCCAUUUUAGCCUCUUUAGAAAAAAAAUCUUGAGUUUUAUCCUUAGUGAAAAAUGUAUGAUACGUAAUUUUUUCACUGUAUUGAAUUUAUAUGAUGGUCAAUUAAAUGGGUCAAUUGGAUUAGUGUGCAGCAGUUUUGUGAAUGAUUCUGAGAGUAAACUAUAUUAUGGCAAUAAAAUACAUUGAAUUGUGAAAAUUAUUAUUUCUGCAUGCUUCUAAAUUUUGGAUAUGUGACUUUCGCUAUUGCGAAUAUCUUAAAUUAACAGUUAGUUAUUACUAUGAGUAAUGUGGUAAGUGUGAGUUGUGAAUGUCAGUAAUAACUGUUAGUUAAUACUAUCAGUAAAGUCAGCAGUAAAUGUGAGAUGUUAAUUGGAAUUUGCAGAUAUUAAUUUGACAUGGUUGGUUAUUAUCUGUUAGUUAAAUUUCGGGAGUUUUAAUUUUAUUAGUUAGUGGGGAAAAUGUGAGGGAAAUAUGGGAAAAACAUGAGCAUGAUUAUAGGAUUUGUACGAGCAAUUAAAGGAUUAGUUGUGAGAUAAACAUUUCUUAAUUUUAAAAAUGUAAAAAUGUAAUAAAAUAGUAUUCGAACUUUUGACAAUUUGAAAAGCUCCUUAUCUAAAAUUCUCUCUGCAAUACAUAUAGAUAGAUAUAGAUGUCUUUUUUUUUUGGUGGUUGAAUGUCAUAUUCGCGAACUAUCUGCAGAAAAAAAUAAAUUUGUAGACUAAACUAAUUUUGUUAUACCAACUCUGUUAUUCUUAUUAUUGUAUUAAUUGUUAUGCUAUUUCUCUCAUUUUGUUAGGUCUACAUUAAUGCAAGUUUAAUUCCUAUUAUGUCUUAUGUCCCAGAAAAUACAUAUUAUCCUAUUUAGGUGGAUACGUCCAACUAAUAAUCAAAUUGAUGCUAAAAAUUUAGAAUGAAUAAGUUGCUUUUGCAUAAUGGUUGGAAAGUUUUCUUGAGACUUUAUGAAUGAGGUGUCUUGCAGUUGCCAAAAGAAUUUGUAGCAUAUUUUUGUAUUGGAAAUGGAGUAAAAACUUGCUAUGGGUUACUUUUCUGUAUUUCAAUUUCAUCGUAAAGGGUAAUUUAUUGUUCAACCUAAUUUCAUUCUGAUUUUAUCUAACUAAUAAAUUAACGUAUGAAAAUAGAUAAUUUAUGGAGGAAAGCCAUAAGUAGCUGGUGCUUUAUUGAAAUAUUGAUUUAUUUUUAUUUUAUCCAAUAAAUAAAUUUGUUUAUGAAAAAUGGGUACUCUAUUCUCAUAAUGGAGGAAAGCCAUAAAGCUAGUGUUUUAUUGGAAAACAGAUUUAAUUUUAUUUUAUCCGAUAAAUAAAAUUUUUAUAUGCAAAAAUGGGUACUGUGUUUUUAUAACGGAGGAACGUGAUAAAGAGAUAGUAUUUUAUUGAAAAAUGGGUUUAUUUUUAGUUUAGCCGAUAAAUAAAUUUUUUAAUGACAAAAUGGGUACUUUGUUCUUAUAAUGGAGAAAAGUUAUAAAGAACUAGUGUUUUAUUGGAAAACGGAUUUCAUUUUAGUUUAGUCGAUAAAUAAAUUUUGUUUAUGUAAAAAUCGGUACUGUAUUCUUAUAAUGGAGGAAAGUGCUAAAGAGUUAGUAUUUUAUUAAAAAAUGGGUUUAUUUUAAGUUUAGGCGAUAAAUAAAUUUUUGUGAGAAAAUGGGUACUUUAUUCUUAUAAUGGAGAAAUGUCAUAAAGAACUAGUGUUUUAUGAGAAAACGGGUUUAUUUUUAUUUUAUCCGAUAAAUAAAAUUUUUGAUGAGGAAAAUGGGUACUGUGCUCUUAUAAUGGAGAAAAUUCAUAAAGAGCUAGUGUUUUAACCUAAAAUCGGUUUUAUUUUAUUUUAUUUUAUCCAUUAAUUUUUCUUGGGAAAAAUGAGUACUCUGUUCUUAUAAUGGAGGAAAGGCAUAAAGAGCUAGUAUUUUAUUGCAUAAAAGGUUUAUUUUUUUCAUCCAAUAAAUAAUUUUUUUAAGGGAAAACGGGUGUUAAAGAGGUGGUAUUGGAUGAAAAAAUGAUACUUUAGAAUACCAAUAGAUAACAGUUAAAACACAAUCACAGAUUUGGUAUUUUAAAUAAUGAAGAAUCGGUUCCGUUUGCAUUGCAUAUUUUUCGGGGUAUUGUCAAAAACAUCACUGUAGUCCUUCGAACGUGAAAUACAAGUACUGUACAUAUCUGCUAUUCCUUUCCCUUUUAGACCAAUCAUUUUGACUUAUGUGCUUUCUGAUAAAAAUUUUCAAUUAUUUUUUUAAUUUGCAAAAAAUAAAUUAAUUCUGUAUAAAUCGAAAAGAUUACUAUUUCAAUUAUUGGCACUUUGCUCAUGCUUUGGAGGACUGGUAAGAAAGCCGUGAAGAGCUGGAAUUUUUAUUAAUGAAAACUUUUUCCAUAAAUGGCCUGAUUUUUAUGACUUUCCUUUAUUAUAUGUCAAACUACCAAUUUUUAACCUGCAUUUUACAUCUAUUUAUUUGGUACUUUAAACAAUGUUAUUCAGCUGUAUCUUUCCUUUUCAGACAAACUAUUUUCACUUGUGAAUUUUGGUGCUCUGCGAAAAAAAAAUUUUCGCUUACUUUUUUUUUUUUAAACUGCAACAGAAAAAAUUUAAUUAUGUAUAAAUUUCAAAAAUACUAAAUUUUUCACAUACGAUCAAGUAUUUAUACAAGUAUAUUAACAUUACUUACUAAGUAAGGUACUCAGUUUUAAUCAUUAAUAAAACAUUUUAGUGUUAUUUUAAAUAAUAAAAUAUGGGCUUGGCAUAAGUUUUUUAAGCAUAAUAGAGAAUUUUUGCCAUAAAUUAGCAUGUUUUUGUCAUUAAUCAAAUUUACUAUAGUAUAAGUAAAAAUGAUUAUUUAUGUAUAAAAACAUACUAUUACUUCAAAUAAACUUACUCCCUCAAAAGUAUAUUGAGGAUAAAAAUUGUAAUUUAUCUCUUUAAAAAGUAUGUUUCGUAAUACUUUCAAUUCACGUUUUGGGCUGCAAAAUUACUAGUUUAUUACGUUAACUUACUAUUUUAGAUGACAAACUUACGUCCUUAUUUUUACGCAUAAUCCUAUUCAAGUGGAUAAGUCCAACAGGUAAUCAAAUGGUUGCUAAAUUUAUUAUAAUCUAUUAUAAUAAGUUUUUUUACCAUAACGAUAGUCAUGGGACCAUUUUCCCGGAUGCUUAAGCUGAACACUUGGUCACUAAAUUUAUAUAUGUAUAUAAAUAUCACUAAAUUUAUAUAUGUAUAUAAAUAUAAUAAAGGUUUGAAUCCUUUGGUUUACCUCCACUUUUUCUUCUUCCAAAUUAUUAUCCCCCACGCGUGUGCGAUAAUCAUUUAUUAUUUCUUAAAAUUUCGGUACCUUCUUUAUGCACAUUUUUUGUCCAAGGUAUUUGCAAUAUAUUUCCAAUCGUAAUGGGUACAUUUACAAAUACAUAAAUGCCUCUGGUUUUAACAUGCAAAAACACUUCCUGUUUCAACUUGUACGGAAGUCAGUGUGCUUUUUGGCAUUUGCAGACGGUUCUGGUAUAUUUCCUCUCCACGUGCUGUACAAUAAUUUAACGUCUCCGUCUUCCUACUAUAGGCAGGUUCCCACCAUAAAGGUAUCCCUUCUCUUUCUCCCAAAUUGAUGGGUUUGAUGUGAUUGGACCCGAUGUUCCAUUGAUUUUCUUUUCGAGGUAAUUGCAUCAACCAAGUCUCGCAUGGAGAAGCACAUGAGUAUGCUUUACCAAUUGUUACAUCAAUAAUGAGAUUUUAGGGUACCAACUUAGAUAUUUGUAGUAAAUAUUAUUAUGAUGUUUGUGAUGUACAUACAAUUUGUGAAGACAUAAAUUUUAGAACUUGUAAUAAAAGAACAUAAAAGAGAUGACAAAUUCUCUAAAUUGAAUCCGUGAAUGGCACAAUGGUGUAACACGUUUUACGAAUUCAUAUGGUACAUUUUCACAUCUCAAUAUUUCAUGUAUACCAUAUGCAACAAAUCAAUCAGGUGUUAGAAUAUAUAUCUGGAUUUGGCAGGCUUCUUUCAUUAGUUUUUGAUGAAUGUUUUGAUGAUCUUUUUGUAUUCAUCUUUUUGUAAUAAAUUCAUCACCUUCAUGCUACGUAUGAUGCUCCUGCGCGAUGUGCGAAUUUACAAAUAAUUCAUUCUUGUGACCCACGUUUCAAUUUUCAUUCUUUUCUAGGAACUAAUAUGCCAUCGUUGAAUCGUCAAGUGUUCAAUAUAAAGUGAUUGAUCUAUAGAUGAAUACAGUCCUGAUUCUAAAUUUGAGGUUCAAAUUCUUGCACCUUAUAGUUAAAUCUUGUAAGUCAGAGUUAGUGAUACACCUCCAAAAUUUUGGCUUCACUGAGAUCUAAAAUCCGUUAUCUGUCAACAAGCAAAUUAAAAAUAUAAACUGAAAUUACAAACCAAUUUGUAUGUAGGCAUAUUCGAACUAAGAUCAGAUGUAGUUAUACUAAUUACUACAGUAACAUCUUUCUAUAAAUUAUCAAAAAAUUGGCACAUAAUAUAAACUUUUAAGUUUAAUUUUAUGCAGUAUUACCGUCGUUGAUCAAGAGAAGGGGGAAAAAAAGAGAAAUGCUACAUUUUAAAUUUAGACUUGAGAGCUAAUUAAUUAUGAAACAUAAGAACUAUAGUCCAAAUUCCUUCCAGAGUCUGUUGUAUAAUUUUUAUGGAUUUUGUCAUUUCGUGAAUUUUUACUAAAUAGCGAAUUAGUGAAUCUCCCUCGUUUUGCCAUUAAACCUUCCAAUCAAAUUCGCAGUAACACUCAUAAUGAUCAACCUUACCAAGAUCCCAUUGUAUUUCGGAAGCUUGUAGCAUUGGUCAUGAUAAAACCCCAAUUUAGUGUUUCUUCUCCGUGAUAAUGCCUACGUCUACAACUCAUUCGAAAAAAAUUAGGAUUACAUGUAAUAAGUUUGAUAAUGAACAUCAACAAGGAGGGAGAAAAGAGAUCAUUGGCAUUUGGACUUUUUGCUUUCCUAAAGUAAUAGAUGCUGCCAUAGAAUUUGCGGAUGAUUAAUAAAAAUAAAUCAAUAUAUGAAGAAUAGAUUAGAAUUUAAGGGGUUUUUCUAACUAAUGGGUUAUCCAUUAACAUACCUAACAUUCACCUAACUUAACAUAUAUAUACACAUACUAACAAUUAUUAUUCUCCCUUACAUUUGUAUACUUUCUCUAUUUAAUCUUACCUACCAUCUCUUGUAUUUAUUUACUUUCUCUAAUUAAUAUUACAUUUCAAAUAAUAUGACAUCUGAAAUAUAUCUUAAUGAGUAUCCUAUGGGCAUAGGGCACCUGUUAAAUAUAUCCUUGUCUAUUUAUCUAUUAUUUGGAAAGAAUGAUUAUAGGUACUUCUAAAAAUUAAUGACAACCUAGAAAAUGGUAAAACCACAUCUAGGCAACAGUUUUCCCAAGGAAACUUUUGAAGUUUGAGGCUUGAACUACAGCUAUCAAAUUAAAAAAAAGGGGGGGGGGGGGACUAUUCAAAGUUGGUUUAUGUUACCAAAAAGUUCAACUUAUGAAAAAGAUCAAACAAGAUGGCAAGAGAAAUCUUCUAAAAUACUAACUUGUGAAAAUAAACCAUACUUUAUUGCUAAAUCUAAGUUCACAAAAUCUUGUUAAAUCGCAACAUGGUCCAUCUCGUAAAAUGGCAACGAAUUAAUUUCAACUUUUCUUCUACAUACACUAAACAUGUAAAGAAGGACUUAAUCAUAGGUUAAAGCUUAUAAUACAAGAAAGCAUAAUUUUCUAUUUUUUUUAUUGGAUUAAUCUUCUAUACACUAACAUAUUUUUUUUAGAUAUGUUCAAACACGUUUGAUAAUAAAAAAUAGAACAUUUGAAUCAAUUAAUUAGCAUUGAAUUUUUCAGACAAAACUUGUUCCAAAAAUAAGCGAUAAGCUAGUCACUUGUCACUUAAUGUAAUAUACAUUGAAUGAACUCAGAUUUCAAAUUUCAAAUUUGCAAUAUCAGUUUUAUCAAAUACACCCUAAGAGUUAAUUUAAAAAAAAGAAAUGAAAUUAAAAAAGCGUUUAAAUGUAAUAGAGAUAAUAAAGUUGAGCUAUAAACUUAAAUGAUACAUUAUAUUUAAUAUAAGUGCACUAACCAAUGUUUUAGCCAUCAAAAUCAAAUUUUGAAUGGCAAACUACUUUUAGGCCCUUGAGCUUUAACAAUCUAUAUUUUUUUUAUCCUCCAAUAGUUGUUGACAUCCUUUUUGUCCCUGAACUCUAUUAAAUGUAUACUUACAACUCUUUCGUCAAUUUGAGCCAUUAACCUAACGAAAAGAGCAUUACAUACAAUGUACAAGUGAAAAUUUAGUAUAUAAAAAUAUAUUUUAUAUAAAAUAAAAUAUUUAUAAUAUGUAUAAAUAAAUAUAUUUAAAUUAAUAUAAUAUAUAUAUCCUAUACAUAAUUGAAAUAUACAAAUUGAAAUAAACAUAUUAAAUAUGUAUUUGGAGUUGUUUAUGAUAUAUUGUUUGGAUAUGAGUUUUUCUCCUGGAAUAGUACUGUUUGGAUUGCCAUUUUCUGCCAGAAAAUUGCGUCGUUUUCCGUGAUCACAUUUUUUUAUUACCUUUUCCCCUCACAUACAUCAAAUCGCUACAGUAUUUUUUUCAUAGAAAAUGACGGAAAAUGCAAUCCAAACGGGACAGGUACCCAAACUCAUGAUUUUGAAUUCGAUACAAAUUGAGUUGAGUGGAAUCGAAUUUUGACUUAAUUUUAUCAAGUUUGAUGUCGAUCUCAAACUCAACGAGUUGUCAUUAUAAAGUUCGAGUUCGAAUUUAACCUUAGAUUCAAACCGAGUCGAACUCAAUCUUGAGUUUACUCGAGCUUAAAACAUAAAAAAAUAAUUAUUUUAUUUUAAAAAAUGAAUAAUAUACUAGUAUAGUAUUUUUUUGUUAACAAAUAAUAAAAUGUUAGGAAUACAUAUCUAAUUUCAUCACUAACAUAUAUAUAUAUAUAUGUAUAUAUAAAAUAAAGCGACUCGCAAGCUAACGAGUUUUUUUUGCUCGAACUCAAGUUAAUUAGCUUGAAUUUGGGUCGAGUUCAAUCAAGUUUUGACCGAGCCAAUUCAUGAGUGCAGGUGAAUAGUUUAAUUCAUUUGUAACUCUACUUUUAUCCCAUUUUAGUAUCUCGUUACUUUAUAUAUAUAUAUAUAUAUAUAUUUACUUUUAUUUCCCCAGUACACCCUUCCCUUCUAUAGCUAUCAAGUAUAAGAUUCGAAACCUAAUCGCAACGAAGGCUCCAAGAGCCAUCCUGUAAGUCUUCUGUCCAGUGAACGAUCGGUUGUUAAUAUCCCAUUACAUAAUGCGGUCUUUACCUUUAUGGUUGGUUUGGUUUCUAGAUUGGGUUGCUGCUUUCGACUUUUCUGAAAAAAUUUACGUCAUAAAUCCAAGAUAAAUCUUCCUCCAUAAAACAAACUUCAUUGUCUUUUGCAUCAACAAGCAAAUAUGAAACCAAAAAAUAGUAGGAAAGUAGAAAAUUGGUUGUACUACUUUAGGGCUUUAGUUUGCAUGUCUAAUUGAGGAAAACCUUUUGAUCAACCAAUCAAACGCAGGAAUCGAGUUGUUUUUCCUCAACUUUUUCAUAACCAUUUUUUACUCUACUAAAAUGAUUUAUUUUCUUUUUAAAAGUUUAAGUCAUUUUAAUUGAAUAGGAGUUAUGAACACUACUAUCCACCAUAUAAUAAUUCCUAAAUUUGUUAUCAAUGCAGCCUUUGCUAUGCAAAGCAAAAUAAAAUAAAUUUGUGCAAUGAAAAUAAUAAGAGUCCAAUUUUCGCGUAUUAUCUUAAAAGAGUGAAGCAAAUUGCUUGAACCAAUCAUUGCUCUCAUCAAUAUGUAAUCUGUACUUGGUAAACUAUAACGAGUAACUGCAUCUUGGUAAUUAUCUUAAUUCAUCCACUAAUAAAUAAAAUUUUUUGGUCAAAUUAAAUGAUGUGAUCUUGUAUAACAACUUAUUUGUUUAAAUUCAAAUUUUUUUAUAUGACUAACUUAUGCACUUCUCUUGAAUGCGAUCACACGAGAUACAACAUCUUUCAAAACACUAAUCUUUUUCAUGCGACUUGAAACUUUCUCUCUUCGCUAUUGUCAAUUUUAAGCCUUCUUCUACAAAUGAAAAGUACCGUUUCAAUUGCUAUUUUUUGAAAUUUUUGUAGAAAAAGAUACUGUAGUAAUUUAAUGUAUGUGAGAUAAAAAAUUGAUUGAAAAUAUGUUCACGAAAAGGGUAAAAAAAAUUUUUGGAGAAAAAUUACAUUCCAAACAGAUUCACUGCAACAUAAUGAACUAGAAAUAUAUCCAUGUAUUUCUUAUACUAGAAAUAUUAAUUUUUUAUUUGCUAGUAUAGUGGGGAGCUUCCUUAGCUAUACGUAUGAUUUUUUUGGUUUGACUUUCAAUGCCUAAAAGUGAACGAAUUCUUCAUUUAUGAUUUUCCCUCGUGGGAUGGCAUUAUUUUUUUAGACGUUAGUGAUCAGUUUCAUAAAGCACGUAUGCAUUGAACAUGGAAGCAUCCAAAUUUGUCGAAAAACAAGCUAAUAGAUUACCUCACCGGCUUUUGUCCUUUUUCAAGAUUAAAAAAAAAAUUUGUUCUAAGUAUUAUAUUAUUCUCACAAUUUUGUAUAACUUCUUUUCGAAUUUUAUACAAUAUAUGGAAUUCUUUUUUCUUUUUUUUUUUUACAAUUGUGCUAGCUAGCAAUCUGUAUAUGUUAGUUACAGUCUCUUUUCAUUAUCAAACAAACAUCUUGUCAUACUGUCAUCAUCCAUCUUUGCUAAUUCCUGAAAAAAAAACAGAAAAAUUUAAAAAAAGAAAAGAAAACAAAAGAAUUGGAAUUCUCUGGUCAGAUUUGGGUGCUACAUGUGACAGCCCCACCUUCCCCUAAGGCGAACCAAAGGGGUUAGCGGACUGCCUGCCCAGCUCUCGCCAGGACUAACGAGUAGUAACACGCGAUUUAAAACGUUUCGGGAAAGUAAAGUGCGCUCGGACAAGCCACAAGUAUCAAAAUAAAAAAAAAUAAAAAAAACGAAAAUGAUGAAUAGUGCCUGGAACAGUGGAAUCCGGCCGGAAUCUGGCCGGAUUACAGGCCGGAUUCUUGGCCGGAUACUGUCCAGUAGCUAAACUCCCGGAUUCAAAAUUUUCCCCAGGCAAUCCGGCCAGAAACUGGCCGGAUUCUUGGCCGGAUUCAGACCUGUGCCUUUCCGUCAAAAAUUUUUCUUUUGCCGUUUGAAAGCCGAACCUGUCCGCAACCCUACCAAACAUCAUAAAUACAUAUACAACGCAACAUUUAGCGUUUACAAGUCAAAUGGCAUAUGAAAGUCACUCAAAAGUUAAUACAUGUACGAUUGCCAAUUGAAAAGUGAAAACGGCCUCAAAGGCACAUUUAAGGUUCCAUUCAAAAACUAUACAUGUCAAAACUAUAGUAAUCUAGUUCAUUCGGCAACCAAUUCAAAAGUCAUUCCAAAAACAGACAGAUUCCUGUAAGGAAAACAAAAGGAACGGGGUGAGCUAAUUGCCCAGUGAGAAUACAACUCAAACAACCAAGUUCAUAGAUGCAUCCAGCUUAACAGUCCAAUUUACCAAAGUUAAGUAAAGCCACACAUCGAUAAUGAGGAUAAAAGGAUACGGGUGGCUCUCAAGAGCCCUUUCCCUCGUUCGCAUUUCUUGAUCGAACACCAUUGACUCUCCGUCAAUUUUCAACAAUAACCAACCGUAGACUCCACUUUACCUCCAUUCCAUUCCACCUAACAUUCCCCAACCGGGCCCGCAAUCCAAACACAUGCAUUGUGGUAUUACUCGAGUAAACCGGAAUCGAGAGUCUAUCAUACUACAAGAUUCCAUAACAUUGCCCCAAGGCACAUUAAUUGACACGACCAAGCCCUCGCCGGCUCGAUUCAAUCAAUUACCAAUGGGGUUGAGUUCAUUGAUAACAUUUGUAGUCGUUGGAGACUCGUCCAAACGAUACCAAGUCAUGUAUUUCUUUUCAUAUAACAUUUCAUAUAACAUUCCAAUAACUUUCCAAUAACAUGCAAAACAACAAGUGAAAGUGAUAAAGUACACUCUCACUUCAAUCAAUUAACAUUCAACAUCUCAAGUUCAAGUAUCAAAGUCAUAUAAUAACACAUAAGUGAGUAGUAUACUCACCACGUUAGCAAAUGCGGUUUCAUGCACUUCCGUCAAAAGAACGUUGUGCACCACCGUCACGCCCUAAAAACAUGCAAACAAAUACAAUGAGACUCGAUAACGAGUCCUAAACCAAGGCCAAACAUGACCCCAAUAGAGUUCCAUAAGCAUAUACAAACAAUCAAGGAAACCAGAAAUUUCAGAAAUGUAACUAACUUGGCCCUGAAAAAAACAGUUUUUGUCCUCAUUUUGCGGUAAUGGCACAAAUUGCACUACGCUUAUCGGAUGAGGGUACAAGACCCACCAUCUCGAAGCUAAAAGACAGGGCUACAACAUCACAGGAGGUCACUCAACCCAGUUUUGAGUGCAAACAGGUCAAAAAUGCAAGAUACUUCAUCAACAACAUAAAACAGAUUCACCAAAACGCAUUCUAGUGGAAACAUCAUAACUCAGGCUCUACAAGUCCAAAUCCAGAAAUUCUAAAACCAGAUGAAAGCUAAGAAAUAGGGCUAAAUUUCAUCAGAAGGCCUCAACAUCCAAUUCGGAAUAAAUUCCAGCCAAAACAACUAAUUACAGGCACAGUUCUCACUUUCGGGUAAAACCAGAACAGCAAUAGUAAUUUCGACUUAUCUCAUUCUACACUACUCCGAUUGACCUGAAAUUUUGUAGACACCUCUAAAAUGUCAUUCCCUACAACUUUCAUGUUUUGAGCUAAGGCCAAUUCGGCCUCUAUCUAGGACCUAAAAAUUCGGACAGAAUGCUCCCUUAAGAACCCUAGUUUUUUCAAUUUUCAUCCAAAACAGAAAUUGGUUGCAAUUAAUCACCUUUCUCACCUCCUUAAGUCAUUAUAAACCAUUUCCAAUCAUCAUAGAUAGCCACAUAAUCAUGCUUAUAAUAAAACAGAAAAAUCCCCAAUAAAUGGAAAACUUCACCACUUCAUCCAAAAUCAAGAAAUAAACCACAAAAUUCAACAUUUUAACUACCACUAAGCACAAAUUAAGCUUCAUUAGGUGAAGGAGAAGGUUCAAUCACUACUCACCUAGUAAAACAAGAGAGGGAGAGUUGCUUGUCACCUUAGCUUCCCCAAACACUUCACCAAACAACUUACUAACACCUAAUGAAGAAGUUUUAUGGAGUAGAAACAAGCUUAAGUGAUUGUUUUGGAGGAUUUGAGCUAGAUGGAAGCCAAACUUUGAAGAGUUUUCUUUCUUCCUUUGCUAGAGAAGGCCGGCCAAGAUGGAGAAGAAAAGAGUGAAUUUUUGGUAAUUUUUGAGAUAUUUUAGUCAAAUAGCAAAAAGGUGAAUAGUUGUGGACAACUCAAUCCAAUCACAUGGUGACACUUGUCAUCUCAUUUAAUGACUUGCCUAACUUUUUUUGUCUCUCAUACACCUAUCCACUUGGUACCUCUAAAUAUCUCACAACACCCGAUAAAAUAAUUCCAGUAUCCAAAACACCCGAUUAACUUUUCGCACUAGCGGGUCCCACGUCCGAUAUAUAUCCUUAAUUUUUCAAAAACUAUCCAAUACUAGAAAAAUCAUCUAAAAAUUAUAUCUGCUCCUUAAAAUUACCUAGAAAAUUUUCUAAUCACGAAAAUGCAGAAAACAAGCCAUGAAAAAUUCUAAAACCUAGAAAAUGAAAUUUACGGGUUCUCACACUACACAAGUGGAAUAUUCAUGAAUUUAUUCCGUUUCAUCGAAAUUAAUUUUGUCCACUGGUGAUGUUGACAAAAAUAUUACGGCUGAUAUUAGGCUUAGAAGUUCAACUUGAUUUCUCUUCUUCUUCCUCAAAUGUGCCUAAAUGCAUUGGAUCAUUGAAGACGGAAUGGAAGGAUGUUGUCUGCUGGCUGCCAAGGGAAAAAAAAAUGGCAUUGAAAUGACUCGACAAUGGCGGCAGACGAAUUUUCUAUAGUACGAUUACGAUUUAUUCUUUUCUCAUUAAUAGGAGUACAUGACUGGAGUGGAGCCGUCCAAUGGCUAUGUUGGUGUAUUUUUAAUGAAGCCAUUACAUUAAUCCUCCUUUUUUUUUGUCUUUUUUAACAAUUUGCUUUUUUUUUUAACAAGGGAAAAAGAUCAUUUCGUUCAAAUAAAUCUGCACUAAUGACAGAAAAUAUAUCAAACAAAACAUGAGACAGAUAUAUAUAAAUUUGAAAUCAAUAGAUACAACACAUCUAAAAAACUAAUACAAAUAAAGAUGACAUUUUGUAUCUUUAGAAGUAGAAGUAGAUUUUUUGAUCGAAAAUUGUCACAUCAAUUAAGUGACCGUUUUAUUUAAGGGGAAAAAAUAUUUAGUAUAGCUAGAACAGGAUGUAAUGACCAUUCACUCUAUCCUUUGAACAUUUUUAAAUCCUAAGAUGAUGCUUUUCCUUUUUCUGAAGAGAGAGAGAGAGAGAGAGAGGAGGGAUUUUGUUGGGGUUCUUGGAGGAAGUUGUGGCAGAUCUAAUUUCAAGCUAAUAAAUCACCCUGAUUCAAGCAUCUUUUUCAACCAUUAUAAGUUGGCAUCUAUAAGAUGCAAGUUUGGUCGUAGAUCGAGGAUUCAAAUUUUUGUGCCUGUAUUAAAAUUUGAAAUUCGAAAGUGUACAAUAGUGCACUCAUUUAGUUUAGAGAUAGGAUCAUCUACCUCUGACCCCUCUUAAUUCAGUUGGAUCAUUUUCUAACAUACGUUAAAUUAGGAGUAAAUCUAUCUUACUAUAUAUUAGAGUAUCAGUAAGAAUGAUGGCUGUACAGUUGAAAAAAAUGGUGUAGUUAAAUUAACGAUUUUGGUUGACUUCAAUAUGCAGGAAAUCGUACCAAUUGAUAGAGGAGCAUCCUUUUGUGUGUGUGUGUGUGAAAGAAGGGGCAUCCUAGAAAAGUAUAAAUGAGAAACUGCAAUUGCUGUCUUACUGCUGAAUCAUGAUUGCACUUAACUGCAAUGAGUUCAGACAAUCUUUUAGUACAAACUUAGGGAAAAUGUGGUACAAAUGAGGAUUCUUAAAUGGAAAAGUAGCUGUAUUCCUUGAAGGGCUGCUUGUUCAAUGCUGAUGAUUGGAAGUUUGACAUCUUUUUUUUGUUUUUUCAGAUGGUAAACUCAACCGGGCUGCUUAGCAGUUGGCUGUCGGUGACUGACAUGUUGGCUGUCCCCGUUCUUCAACGGCCUCAUUGACGUCAAACGUAGACCGGCGAAAGGAGUUCUUAAAUACCGAUGAGAUUAAUGCGGAUAAUCUCAAAACACUUAGACUAAAUUACCCUUUGAUGAAAUAAAGACAUUUAUUUACUGAACUCAAAUUCGAGCUCUUCUCCAACCUUCUACUGGUCCCACGAUUAGAUUUUUUUCUUUUGGUAAAAUAAUGAAGUGUGAAGAAGCGCUGAACUUCCCCGAGCCGAGCUGACCUGAUGAGUUCGGCGUGCUGAUGAUGAGAACGUAUCCCAACCCUGCAAAACAAACAAGAAGUAAUCUCUAGGGUGACCAACUGGGGAGCCCCGAGGUGGUCCCCGAGGGCACUCCGACGGUCAAGUUAGUCUUCCGGUGGGAGGGAUUCACUGGGGGUAAAACUACUAGGAGUGUUUUGCCAAUAGUGAGCGUACCUUGUACAGUUGGUGUGCGAUACCAUUUAUACCUGCUUGUGAGUCCGACCUCCGUAUGUUUCGGGACCUGCCCGGGAUAACCUCAAUCCCGCGCUGAGGGGGAUUCUCCCCGCCCUCUGCGGGAUUGUUUUCCGGAGCCUCUUGGAGCCCUAGUGGUGAUGUACCCCAGGACGGUUGUCAGGGCCCAGCUCCGACCUUCCUGGGCUGCCACAUGUCUAGGCCCAGGACGGGGCCUCUGCACUAGCCCCCUGGAUUAGGUAGGGCUUCCAGGCAGACCUAAUCUAUACCCCUGCCACGUGGGAGACCAGCACUGCGCACUGCUUUAACAGGGUCACCUCUGGUACAGUGCUGUCCCUGAAAAGCCGCGCCCACGUCCUUUCAGUUGUCGCGUCUAUUCGGUCUCCGUACCGCUCUUAAAUGCAUUCACAUGGGACGGUUCAAAUUCGAGCAAACCGUUUUCCCCCCAUUUCAUCCCCUAUAAAUAGGGGUUGCCAGAUUUCAUCCGACUCUAUUUGCCAUUUUCUUUUCUUCGUACAUUUUUGCAUUCUCUGAAAUUCCAGCGGCAAGACUUCCGGCUCUCCGUGCCCAGAUUCCGGCGAUUCCUUCAUUUUUUCCAUUCCGUUCAUCAGUAAGUCCUUUUCCUUCACCCUUUGUUCCCUUUACCAUCUUUUACUUUUUAUGUCAGAUCAGUCCGGCGUGACUUCCCCCACAUUUCGUAGAACCCUUAGAAUCCUCAUUUCCUCCUCGUCUUCAUCCUCAUCUUCAUCUUCUCCCCCUCCUCUUUCUUCUUCCUAUGCUUCCAAUUCCAGCUUCCAAAUCCCUGACUUGCUAGAGCCCAUAGUCAUCAUGUGCUCUCCCUCUACCUAUUCUCCUUCUGCCCGAAUGCUGGAGGAGGUGGCCGAGCUUGAUGCCCUCAUCGAGCAGCAGGCCACAUCCGUACCCCUCCCCCCGAUCCCCCCAUGACUCUCCUGGCGGAACCCAGGAAGGGGCUGGUGGGGACAGGCACUCCUCCGAGGGGAUCCAUGCCUCCGAGUAGGGGGAUGAUCCUGAAUUCGACUACGGUCACCCCGACCAGUAAGAGAUCACCCUCUCCCCCGAGGAGGUGGCCGAGCUGGCCGGAUCUUUUUCCAUUCCUCCGGCCUUUGAGCCGAGGGCUGCCGGACCUCCCCCUGGCUUUGUAGCCAUCUAUAGGGAGCAACUGGUCGCGGGGCUCCGGCUCCCCAUUCCCUCAGUUCUGGCCGAGAUCUUAAACUAUUGGGGGCUCAGGAUCACCCAGGUCCACCCCAACUGGAUCAGGAUCAUCAUUGGAUUCCUGAUCUACUGCCAGAUCUGCUCCAUCCCCUAUUUUCUCUCCCUCUUCUGAGCCUCUUACACUCUCAAACUCUCCCUUUCUGGGUGGUACUAUUUCUCCCGCCGAACUGCUAACAAAGGUCGAGGUGGGAAGGGCACCCAGGAUCUUCUCUUCGGGGUCCUCUCUUCCAUAAAGAACUGGAAGGGGGACUUCUUCUUUGUUAAAUCAACGCAUUUUCCCCCUAAUGUGUGGAAGGUUGGGGAGGUCGUCUCCGACCCUUUUCCAGAGGACUUGGAUUCUGAAACCCUCAGUCAGCUGGUGACCUCCAAGGUGAAGCUCUACGCGGCCAGAUUCUCCACCGAGCAGAUAUCUGCGGCCGGACUGAUGGGGACGAUGUCCAGGUCCCCUGGAGAAGUGGUGCCUUCCCCCUCAACUACGACGACUGUAAUGCCACCUCUGUGCUCCCGUUGCCUGUUGUUUUUUUUUUCUUUUUUUUACCAACCUAUUUUUGCUAAUCUGGUGGUGUUUGCUGCAGUGAGGAGGUUUUCCAAAUUGUUGGGCACGCCCUCCAAGCCGGUUGCCCCGACUCCGCAGCCGGAGACCGCUAAGAAGGCCUCUGAGGCCGCUCCGACUCCCGGGGGCAGCUCAGGCCCCCAGAAGGAGGCAUCUCACUCCUCCCCCUCCAAGCAGGUCGCCAGUAAGAAGAAAGCGGCUGGGCAGAAGAGGGGCCGAGGGGACGAAGCCCCGCAGCCCGAGAAGAGGCUUGCGCCCACCUCUGCACAGCCCCCUUUCCUGCUGACGUCGGGGGGCGUCCCCCAUGCGGGUCCGGUCCACUUGGGAGUCGGCUCCGCGGAGGAGCACACGCGGGAGAUCGCCCCCUUGAAGCCGGGCCAGGCCCCCUCCAUGCAUGACUCCCGCCGCUUCUGUCCCUCCUGGGGGCUGUCCAUCAACGACCGAACUCAGUUCCCCGAGGUGGCUCGGGAGUUGGUAACGGGCUCGUUCCUUCCGCGCGACAGGAGGUGGAUGGAGCUUGCCAACCCGUCCGAGCUCCAGGAUAUGUACUUCACCGCCCAAACUCAAGUAAGUUCCUUACCCCUUUGGCCAGUUGUACCUCCACUCUUCGGCUAAAUCACGAUGUGCUAACCUCUUUUUCCUUCACCUCAGGCCAAUGCUGCCGGUGCUGCCUUGGUGACCCGCUUCUCCGAGCUGUCUCCCGACUUGGAGAAACUGCAGAAGCUGAAUCGGGAGACAGAGCAAAGGCUCGCCCAAGCUCUUAAGGAGACGGACUCCCUUAAGGCCAAGUUGGGCCAGGCCGAGAAAGAGCUAGAGACGGCUCAGGUCCAGCUCAUCUCCGCCAGGUCAGAGCUAGACCAGGAGAAGGCCGGCGUGGAGAAAUUGAGGGCGGACCACGCCAUCGAGCUCUUCGACACCGUCAGCCGGGAGCGCAAGAAGGCCGUUCGGGAGUUCAUCUCUUCCGAGCGAUUUGCCGAGGAUGUGGCCCUCCUCAACCAGCCCAUCCUCCAGGUCGGUUUCACGAGGGCCCUGGACCAGGUGAAGGGUCUCAACCUGCCUGGCUUCAACUUGGUGGAUUUUAAAGACUACAACCCCGCCGCUGAGGAGAAGUUGGACUGGCUCUUCGAUGGGUAUUGCAAGGGGCAUGCCCUGAAGGAUCUGGUGGGCAGAGAUGAUGUAGGAGCCGAUCUGGCGGAGGUUCCCUUGGAGGAGGACGAGGCUUCCGGCAGAGCUUCCGGGAAGGAGCCGGUGGCUUAAGGGUGUUGAGGGGGACGAGCUGUACAUAGCCAGGCUUUCAUAUCUGGGGUAGAGAGAAAGCUUAUUUUUUCCCAGUGUGAAGGGUGCGGAUAUCUAGCAUCACCAACUCUCCUAGUAUGUAAAACCUGCUGCCGUGUUUUCCUCAUGUCAGCAGUCACCUGCAAGAGGUUUGUCCGCCUAAGGGUAGCGACCACUUCAGAAACCCCUUCUAUUUUCCUUUUAUAGCUCGGUAGACUUUGUAAUAGAUAUGUUUCGAAUGUAUAUAAGAAAUAGCAUUCAAUGAAAACUGCCUAAUUCUGACUUUCAAUUUUUGCUUGCGUCGAGCCUUGAUAAUCGUAGUGGUCUGCCGACCUCCUGGGUCGAGCAUCGAACUGAUCCACCAAGACGAUGUGCCGGCCUCUCGGGUCGAGCAUCUAUCAAGCUUUAAGCUAACAACUGAAUUGUCAAGGACAACAUACUAAGGUAUCAACAAACUACAUCAGACUAAUUAGCGACGUGCCGACCUCUUGGGCCGAGCACCAAGUUUUAAAGGUAGCCAUGCCGACCUCCUGGGUCGAGCGUCAGAAUUUUAAAGACACUCAUGCCGGCCUCUUGGAUCGAUCACCAAACUUUAAAGGCAGCCCUGCUGACCUCCUGGGUCUAGCGUCGAGAUUUUAAAGAUAGUCCUGCCGACCUCCUGGGCCGAGCAUUGUGCAAAACCAACUCGCGAUGAGCCGACCCCCCGGGCCGAGCACCACACUUCCAGAGCAGUCAUGCCGACCUCUUGGGUUGAACGUCGAACUCCCGGAUUUCAACAAACUACAUCAAAAUAGUUUAUGACAUGCCGGCCUCUGGGGCCGAACACCAGACUUUACAGCUUUAAAGGCAGCCAUGCCGACCUCCUGGGUCGAGCAUCCACUCUCAAAUUUUAAGGCAUUCCAUCCGUUACCAUUCAUCCCCAACCCCCCACUAGGACACUUAGCAUUAUCUGAGUGUGCUAGUGUAGGACCUAAACUUUAAAACUAAACGGCGUUGGUAAAAGGAAAGUUAAAAGUCUGACAUUUAUUCAAUGACGAACGUUUACAAGAAUUCUGAAGAAUAGACUACCCUGGCCCAAUCUAACCUACGAAUAAUCGCAAGUUCGAGAAAUGCUAAGUGCGGGGUAUUUCCACUGCAUCUAAUUUCGCAAGCUUGCAGUAGCCGGCUCGGCUUGUUUUCAGGACUUUGUACGGCCCCUCCCAAUUAGGGUCGAGCUUGUUGGAACUAUGGGCUCGGCUGAUGGAGUUCUUUCUUAAGACGAGGUCUCCUGGCUGAUACUGCGUGUUCCUUACUUUUGCGUUAUGAUAGCGGGCGAGCUGGUUUUUGUACUUAGCCAUCCGUAUCGCCGCUUCCUCGCGCUUGGCCUCCAGCAUGUCCAAGUUACACCUCAACUCUUCUUCGUUGGCUGACGCAACGAAGUUCUGUGUCCGAGGCGAGGGGAGCCGAUCUCCGCGGGCACCACUGCUUCUGCCUCGUAAGUCAGGGAAAAAGGGAUCUCAUGGGUAGCUGUCCUCGGCGUGGUGCGGUAAGUCCAGAGGACACUAGGGAGCUCCUCUAGCCAGUUAGACUAGGUUAGUUCCAACCUAGUCUUCAACCCUUGCAGGAUGGUUCGGUUGACGUUCUCCACUUGACCGUUGGCCUGGGGGUGAUCGACCAAGGUGAAAUGUUGGCUGAUCCCGAGCUCGGCGCACCAGUUCCUGAAAGGGUUUUCGGCGAACUGUCGCCCGUUGUCGGAUAUCAAGACAUGCGGGAUCCCGAAGCGGCAGACUAUGUUCUUCCAGAAAAACUUCUGAAAAUUCCCUUCCAGAGAUAGUGGCCAGGGGUUCCGCUUCUAUCCACUUUGUGAAGUAAUCGAUGGCCACCACGAGGUGUUCGUAUCUCCCGGAAACUCGGGGAAAAGGCCCCAAAAGAUCUAUUCCCCACUGGGUAAAGGGCCAAGGACUGCGGAUGGGGACCAUCUCCCGAGUGGGCUGGUGACGCAGCGGGGUGUGCACCUGGCAAGCUUGGCAUUUCUGAACUAGAGCCGCGGCAUCUCGAAACACUGCGGGCCAAUAGUAGCCUAAGAUCAGGCACUUUUUGGCUAACACCCGGGACCCCACAUGUGUCGCACAUAAGCCUUCGUGAACUUCACGGAGGAUGUAGUCGCCUUCCUCGGGAGUCACGCACUUUAACCAGAGAGACAGAUACGACCUCCUGUAGAGAGUUUCCCCAGCGUAGGCGUAUUUAGCAGCUCUGAGUUGGAGUCAGCGAGUUUCGGUUUUGUCCCCGGGAAGGACACCGGAGUUGAGGAAGUUCACGAGGGGAGUCAUCCAGGUGGCCGAGCUGUCUAUGGCCAAGACCUGGAUCGGGUCAUUGCUUUUCUGCUUGACUACCUCUACCAAGACUUCCUUGCUCAGGUGGUCAAACGAGGAGGACGCCAGUUUCGACAGGGCGUCCGCGCGCUUGUUCUGGGAUCUCAGCACCCGCUCGAUUUCAAAAGUAUCGAACAGGGUUAUUGCCUCUCGUACCUUAACCAGGUAUUUCUUCAUGACCUCCUCCUUGGCUUCAUACUCCCCGCGAACUUGUUGGACUACGAGCUGAGAGUCGCUCCGGAUUCUGAUCGCGGUUAUACCCAUCUGGUGAGCUAUCCGCAAUCCUGUUAAUAGGGCCUCGUACUCAGCCUCAUUGUUGGAUGCCGGGAAGUUGAAUCUGAGCGCGUAGGUCAGCUCUUCCCCGGUGGGCGAGGUGAGCAGCAGGCCGGCACCGCUCCCUUCCUUACUCGAGACCCCGUCUAUGAAUAGUACCCACAGCUCUUCCGGCCGUACCUCCGUGGGCGGAGAGCUCGGCUCAGCCAUGGACAAACUUGUCCCCUCGGCAAGGAAGUCUGCCAAGGCCUGAGCUUUGAUAGCAGUGCGAGACUGAUAGCCGAUGUCGUGCUUGGCCAGCUCGACGGCCCACUUGAUCAUUCUGCCCGAGACCUCAGGUUUUGUGAGUAUCUGACGUAAGGGUUGAUCCGUCAUGACAACAAUGCUGUGGGUUUGGAAGUAAGGUCGGAACUUCCGAGUGGCGUGCACCAAGGCAAGGACCAAUUUUUCUGCCGGCGUGUACCGCGUUUUCGGCCCUUGUAGAGCACGGCUGGCGUAGUAUAUUGACCUCUGAGGCCCCAUGUCCUCCCGCACCAACACCGCGCUAACGGUCUCGUUGCAAGCAGACAAGUAUAGGAACAGGGUUUCUCCCUACUCCGGGGCGGUCAGAGCAGGUAGCUCAGCUAGGUAUGCCUUUAGGUCGGUGAAGGCUUUCUGGCAUUCCUCAAUCCAUUGAAAGUCCUUAGGUGCUUUCAAGAUUCGAAAGAAAGGUAGCCCCCUUACCGCGGAGCGCGAGAGGAAUCUAUUCAGGGCGGCCAUCCUUCCCGUAAGCCGUUGGACCUUCUUGACGUUCCUCGGAGGGGCCAUGUCCUUAAUGGCCUGGAGCUUAUCCGAGUUGGCCCGGAUCCCCUCUCGAGAGACUAGGAAGCCCAGGAACUUUUCCGACUUAACCCCGAAGGUACAUUUCUUCGGGUUCAGCCGCAUCCGGUUUUCCCAUAGAAUGUUCAGGAUUUCCCUCAGGUCGGGAGCGAGCUGCCGGUCAAUUCGACUCUUGAUGAUCAUGUCGUCCACGUAAACCUCCAUGCUCCUGUCGAUCUGUUUCUGGAACAACUUGUUGACUAAACGCUGGUAGGUAGCUCCGGCAUUUUUUAGCCCAAAUGGCAUUGUCCGGUAGCAAUAAAUCCCUUCCUCAGUGAUGAAGGAAGUCUUUUUCCGGUCCUCCUCGGCCAUCUCUAUCUGGUGGUAUCCCUUGAAGGCAUCCAGAAAACACAAAACGUCAAAACCCAUAGUAGAGUCUACUAACCUGUCGAUUCUCGGCAAGGGGAAGCAGUCCUUAGAGCAGGCCUUAUUGAGGUCUGUGAAGUCCACGCACAUCCUCCAGGACUGGUUCUCUUUCUUCACCAGGACGGGGUUGGCUAGCCAGGUCGGGUAGUAUACCUCCAGGAUGAUCUUGGAGUCCAGCAGCUUGCCGAGCUCCUUCUUGAUCACCUCGUUCCGCUCCGGGGCGAAGCUUCUCUUCUUCUGUUUCACUGGCUUGAAGCGGGAGUCUAUGUUGAGGUGGUGGACAGCCAGGUCAGUCGGAAUCCCGGGCAUGUCUUCAACCAUCCACGCGAAGACCUGGGAAUAUUCCCUCAGAAGGGCCUUCAAUCUCUCCUUCUCCUCAGAGGGUAGCAGCGCACCGAUGCGGAGGACCUGGUCAGGCCUGUCCUCCCUCAAGGGGAACUCCUCGAUCUCGUCUUGGGUGCCCAACUGUCGGGCCUCCUCCCCCGGGAUGUAGGGCUCCAAGUUGGUCGUCUGGGCGACCACCUUCUCAUGUCCUUGGAGCAUGGCCAAGUAGCAAGCUCUAACCACUUCUGGAUCUCCAUGCAUCUCGGCUAUCCCUCCCGGGGUGGGAAAUUUGACGCUGAGAUGGAACGAAGAGGGAAUAACCCGGAGGGCGUUCAAGGCGGGCCGACCCAAGAAUACAUUGUACGGGGAUGGUUGCUUGACCACCACGAAGUUGACAGGGAUGGCCCGGCAUUUGGGCACCUGUCCUACCGUGACCAUUAGGGUGAUCAUCACCUCCGGGCUGAUAGGCGGUCCAAUGAAGCCCAUCAGGGGUGUCCGAACUAGGGUUAGCUAUCCGUCCUCCAAACCGAGUUUCUUGAACACCCGGUAAAACAGGAUGUCCACUGCGCUCCCCUGAUCGACGUACAUUUUCUUCACCCGAUAGUUAUUUGUCACGACGUCUAUCACGAUGGUCUCGUGGUUUCCAGACGCCAGGGGAAUCGCAUUCCUUGGUCCGAAGGUGAUCUCCUCAUCCAUGCGCAAGCGCUUCAGGGAAUCAUCCCCCUCGGGGGGAGGCCGCCUGUUCUUCCGAGCUGCAUGGUUGUCCCCCCCUGUGGGGCCCCCAGCGAUGGUGUUUAUCACCCCUGCUAAGUUCUGGGUGUCCUGGUCGGGGGAGUUGCCCCGAGGAACGUCACGCCGCUCAGGGCGGUCGCGACGCUGGCCCUCGCCCCUGUCUCCGCGGUAGGUGCGUCCUGACUCCUGGUCUGGUCGAACUUGCCGCACGAAUCGCCCCAGGAAGCCGCGCUGGAUCAGAUCUUCGAUCUCCUUUUGCAGGGCCCAGCACCCCUCCGUAUCAUGCCCAACAUCACGGUGGAAGGCACAGUACCGGUCUUGGUUCUUUUUGUUCCUGGGGGUCCCCAUCUUGGGUGGCUGUUCCCCUAGACCCUCUACCUCCAUGACGGCCAGGAUCUGGGCCCUAGGCCGAGUCAGGGGGUGUAGCCUUUCUCCGGGAGUGGCGGCGGAGCGGGGGCUUUCUCUUUCGAAAGUCGGUCAAAGACGUUCUUUUUGGUCGGGCCAUCCUUGUUCUCGGGGGGGUUUCCCCGUCCCCUCCGGUUUCCGAGCUCCCGAUCUGACUCUCUCUUCAAGCGGGCAGCCUCCUCUGCAUUAGCGGCCGCGUGAGCCCUGGUCAAGAGCUCCUCCAGGUCUCCAGGAGGCUUCUCGGCGAGUUUGUAGAAGAGCUCCUCCGCCUGGAGCCCGUUCAUGAAGGCGGGCAUGACCACCUUUUCAUCCUUGUCCCUGAUCUGCAAGGUCUCCGUGUUGAAGCGGGUCAUGAAUUCCUCAGGAACUCGUCCGGCUUCUGCCUGAUGGCCAUUAGGUGAGCCGCGUUUUUCGAGUAAGUUUUCGAGGAGACAAACUGGGCGGCGAACUGUCUGGCUAGCUCAGGGAAACUCCAGAUGGACCCCGGUGCCAGACCCUGGAACCAGAGCCCAACCUUCCCCUUCAGAAACUUGGGAAAGGUCUUGCAGCGGAUUUCAUCCGCUGCUGUUUGCAGACGCAUGUGCGUCAGGAAGACCGAGAGGUGGUCUUCCGGGUCGGUGGAAGUGUCAUAUAGCUCAAUGUUCGGGAUUUUGAACUUCCGGGGCAGUGGGCAGUCGUCUAUCUCCCGGGUAAAGGGCGAGGUGGUGUAGUUGUCCUUGUACAACCGUGGCCGCAAGAUCUGCUUGAGUUCGUCUCAAACAGGCUUCCACUGGGGAAGGUCGCGCGGUCAGCUUUUGACAGAGCGGUCGGGGGAGCGCUCAAGCUCGCCCCGCGCAGGCUUCCGCGGUGAGGGGUUUCUCGGUCUAUUCCCCGCAGACCGGUCGCGGGAGUACCUCUCGCUAUCCCCGACCAUCGAGGCUCGUGGGCGAGGGGGAGUCCCCGGCCGUUUCCUUCUGGGGGGCUGGUCCCGUGACUCAUCCUCCGAGGGGUCGGGAGGUGAUUCCUUCUCCUUCCCCUUCACCUUGGAGGUCUGCGCGCCCCCGGCUUCGCCUCCCUCCUUCGCCUGCCGGAUCAUAUCUUCCAACAUGGGUAGGUUCUCCGUCACGAACUGAAGGAUCUGCUGUCUCCGCUCUCCUGAGAGGGCUGAGCCUCCGGCGCCCCGAGCCGCCUCGGUCUCCUUUCGCUGGGACCCCUCGCCAGCCUCGGGAUCGGUGGUUUCCAUGGUUCGCUUAGAACGAGUUCUUGCCAUCAACACAACUGCACUUACCUUUCGUUCCCACAGACGGCGCCAACUGAAGAAGCGUUAAGUUUCCCUGAGCCGAGCUGACCUGAUGAGCUCGGCGUGCUGAUGAUGAGAACGUAUCCCAACCCUGCAAAACAAACAAGAAGUAGUCUCUAGGGUGACCAAUUGGGGAGCCCCGAGGUGGUCGCCGAGGGCACUCCGACGGUCAAAUUAGUCUUCCGGUGGGGGGGAUUCACUGGGGGUAAAACUGCUGGGAGUGUUUUGCCAAUAGUGAGCGUACCUUGUACAGUUGGUGUGCGGUACCAUUUAUACCUGCUUGUGAGUCCGACCUCCGUAUGUUUCGGGACCUGCCCGGGAUAACCUCAAUCCCGCGCUGAAGGGGAUUCUCCCCGCCCUCUGCGGGAUUGUUUUCCAGAGCCUCUCGGAGCCCUAGUGGUGAUGUGCCCCAGAACGGUUGUCAGGGGCCUGGGGCCCAGGCCAGCUCUGACCUUCUUGGGCUGCCACGUGUUUAAGCCCAGGACGGGGCCUCUACAAAGUGCAUUAAAUUAAACAAAGUUAGUUACAAUCAUCCGAGAAAAGCAAACUCCUCUGAUGUAUCCCUCGAUAAGAUGUUGACCAUUAAUAGAAUGUUUGUUACAUAUAUAUUCGUAGAGAAUUUUUUAAUCAUUUUGAAAGAUACUUGCUUAAUUGUUUUAUGGUCCAUAACUAAUUUUAAUCGAGACGAGUCGAGUUUCUUUUACAGAGAAUUGGUAUGCUUCAAAAAGAGUGUGGUUGAUUUUUUUUGUAAGCUUUUUGUGGUUUACUCUUUUGGGAGUCCAAAGCCAAUUUAAUGGACAACAAAAGGCAAUGAUUGAAGCCCAUGUGGAGCUGUAACUAGGUAGAUUGGGAGAUUCUGUACAAAACAAAAAAUUGAUUUUGCUUUGGAAUAAUACCUCUCUCGUGUUUUUGAUUGACACAAAGAGGAAAAUUUUUAUUAUGAAACUCAGUGGAAAUCGUCCAAGUCCAACACAACUUGCUUGACAAAAUUAAGAGGAGAGUUCUAUAGGGUCUCAACCAGAUUGCAAGCCUUGGCAUGAAACGCUAAAGGAUAUACCUAACAUCGUUUGGUUAGUUCAGCACCCAUCUUUUAGAGACAUUAUUCGUAAUUUAGGAACAAUCACUUUUUAUACGGAAGAAUUUAGUAUAAAACUUUCGUAAACAAAAAAAAAAAAAAAAAAAACUUUGAUCUAUUAAAAGGUUUUUGAAUAAAAUUUUAAUUAACUUGGCAAUUACAAUGUUUGUAAGUCGUUAUGAGCGAGAAUUAGUUGCGAUGCCAUUGAUUGAUAAUGUGGGCAACAUGUAACCAAAUGAUAAAUGCAUAAUUUCGUGAUUGUGAGGAUAAAGUUGAAAAUCUCAAAAGUGACCAAAAAAACAGUUUAUACCAAACCCAAUGCUUUCCCCUUAUGUAUAGUAUAGUUUAUUCAAGAUUAACCAGUACAUCAUCAACAUUCAGACCUUUAACUAGGUAACAAAAGAUGCAUCGCCUUCAAUGGACAGCAAAUUGGAUAACUGGUUUUGCUUUUUAAUUAUAAGUCUAAUUUGUUCUCUAAUAAGUUAAUUUGUGACUGGACCCUUCCUGAGGCCUGAUUUCUGUGGAGAGUGGGACUAUCUUUUUAUGAAGUUUCAACUAAUCAAUCUUCAGAAAGGCGUAAACCAUCAGGUUUGGUUUAUUUUUGGCAAAUUCCUGAGAUAGGAAACAAAUGAAGCUGCUUUUCUUGGAGCUCUUCAUUUUGUACUAGAGUAGCUGUGUGGUCAGGACUCCCAGAGCCCAGGUCCAGGGUAGCAUAGAUCAGAAAUAAGGAGAAUGGAAGUAACUGUUCUGGUAAUAUGAAUUAGAAUGGAGCAGCAUCUCAAACAAGAAAUUGCAUCCUGCAGUAGUUUAUUCAUGAAAUACAAAGACAAGCAGUAGAAUAACAUCUCCAAGAAAACCACGUAACUUUGCAUGCAAUCAGAAAGAACCAAAGGAAACAGGAUUGUUCAACUACAAAUCAUGAUCAAGAAUAUUCUUCUGAUGCGCACAAGUGACUAGAUAGAACAAUAUUAAUGUCUUACAACACACAUGUUCAUCAGGCCGAAUAUGUCCACAUGGCAAUGUUGCAGAAGAAAAACUAGGUACAAAUCAUCACAUGAGAGCACAAGUAAUAAGUUUUUCAUUGAAUUGUCAGUAAAAAGAAACAACUAAUUUCAAGAAUAUAAAAGAGCGGAAUAAUGCACAAAAUCCUGCCAGACAAAUUGGAAUAUAUCAAGCUAUUCCGAUUUAGCCAAUAAGAUAUCGUAUCUCUGAGGUGAGCAGUUCUCCAGAGUAUUAAGAAACAAACUGGCUAAAUUAUACAUGAUGUUGUGAACAGCAGCAUGAAAACAGAAACCCAUCACACAAAAGGAAGCAUCACGAGUCACUUGUGAAAAGUUCUUAAGCAACAGACUGCGUAAUACAAGUGCAGUUACUAGUUAAAUAGAGAAAACUUUUUCCUUUCUGCUGCGCGUGUAGAGACCCCUGAUUCAUGAGUAACGAUCAGGCUGUAAAAGUUGUUAUACAGAAGUGAUAGUCAUAAAAAUACAAAAGUAACUUGCCAGGCAAUUGUCCAUACCUGCUCUAUGUUGAUAUCAACAAUUCCUAAUAACAAAGCACACUAGCAAACUGGACCAAGACCGUGAAUAGAGUUGCAUUCAUCAAUGAUCUUCAGUUAACUUCUCUAGUUUCAAUGAGACAUGCUUUUGAGUUGUCUUAUGGAUGUAAGAAAAGUUCGUAGCAAAACUAUUAACAGCACCUUGCACAACUAAAUGUCGCUUUGACAGAUAGCGUAAUGGGCUAAUAGCUCAAACACAUGGGAAAGAGCAUAUAGACCACUAAGAUUAUUCAUCAUCGUAAAGCCCCUUACAAAGAGCACACUACCAUACUUCCCUAGAAAAGGUUUAUGAACAAUAAUAAAGGAAAAAUGGAGUUCCAAAAAAACAUAAAAAAGCAGAACAGCAAGAAUCCCGAGGGCAGAUGAACUAUAAGUUAAAUGGUGCUAUUUUCAUGAAAAGAAAACACAAGAAGCAUUUGGCUAUGAAGUUAAAGGGAAAAGAACUAAGAUGUCUCGAAGAAACCACAGUGUGCUUAAGUUGCCUGAAAAUAGUGGCAUACCAUAGACUUGUAUUUACUAGAAGUUGGAUUUAUAUGUCAUGUGCCUCAAUGACAAGUAGCUAGAAAAUUUGGGGAAAUCCUUUCAGCUAAAAAACAAAAAGAAAGAUAACAUUAACUAAUAUGAAACAAAUACAUCACUGAAAACAAGUCAUAGAUCUGCACUCUUCAAAUUGAUCAGGGACCAAAAUUCCUAAUGCUAUAAACAUAGAACCAGGGCAUGCGUAGUACUAAAUAUGACUUGGAUUAAUACGUCUGAACUAGGCUAUUUAACUGCAUGUAUUUAGUUUCCAGGGAAAGAGUCUAGUUUGAUACUUCUGUGUAGUAGAGAAGGGAUUUCUUGUUUGAUACAGUUUCAACGUAGUUAAAAGUGGUACACUUAAACAAGAAGCAAGAAGCCAGUACACAUCUCCCUGCAAGAGGUACAGCAAGAAGUGGUAUACUUAAAGGACGACUACAACAGGUUCUGAUACAUCUCCCUGCACUCAAGCUUGCGUGCCAGUACACAUGGAUAAAAUAUGGUAUUUUGACUGCAUGCACAUAUUUGCAAAAGUUUUACUCUGUAGUAUAGUACCAGACAUAAACCUGGUAUACAAGUUCAUGCCCAACAUAAACUUCUUCUGAGGUCCAUGACUAGUGUGUCCCUAUAUGUAGACAUGCAUGAUCAAUCAUCCCUAUGAUCAUGAGCACAAUUUCAGCAAGGAGACAAAUAGUUCCAAUAAAUUGUACCUGUCAAUGUGAAACCUUCAUAGUAUUCCAUAUACUUUUCCAUCCAAAAUGCAUCUUACAUGUAAAGCAGUUACAUGAGGUUACUAUUAAGUUGCAGCCAAGUGCUCAGUUGGUAUUAGAUACAUGUGCAAAAUUCAAAUUUUGUACUCUGUCAUCAAGUCUGUAACUGAUAGAAGUGCAUCUAGGCAAAACACUUUUUUUCCACAGGAAGAAGGUCUUCUGGAAGUGUACACACUUAAGAUGCAUUUCCUGUGGCAAAAUAAAGACUUUCAAGUUGCAGCCACACAUACUUUUAAGUCAUUUUACUGAUAACCGUUUUGGUAAAGUAAAGCAACCAAAUGUCAUCCUAAUAUAUCCACCAUAAUAAAAUACCAGUUGCCCCUCUUCCUGCAAAAGUAAUUAGUGGUCUCGUAUUUUCAUAGAGCACCCUGCUGUAAGUUAAUCAUCACUAAGAUAUGAAGUCAAACUUUCCUUCCUUUAAGGACCUAUAGGCACAAGGGGUUUUGUAUUUCAAGAGUCUAGAACUUUUGCGAGCCCAACCAUGGGAAUUCUCCUAAGACUGCUAGCUAACUCCCAAAUAUAUCCUUUUGGAUCCAUCUUAAAGUCCAGGAUGCUAUCUCUAGGACCUUUAACUUUAACCUGAAAAGUGAGCAUUCAACAAUAAGUUCAUUAUACCACCAGUAUCACCCAAGCACUUGACAAAAUUAUCUUCUCCCAACCUUGUAAUUACCAAUGCUAUUAUCCUUGAAGACACUUUCUAACAUCUCUUUGUCAAGGUUGUACAUAAUCAACAUAGAAUCUCCAUGAAUGUCAGAGUUCAAAGCAACAGCUAUCUUUCAGGAGAACAUGUAAAGGGGAAUAUUGAGGAAAAGGCAAAAGGGGAAGCCUUUAUUAUGCAAUAUAUGCCUUUCUUUAGGUUGUCGUUGAUGGAAAGGAGAUACAUAGCUUUUGAGGGAACACACACAAGCUUCACCUGAUCACUACCGAAGUGUAAUAUUUUGGUUAAUUAUAGUUACCCAACUAAUUUUUUACUCUAUGCAAGUUUCCUUGACAGAGUAUUGGAUAUCCAAUAAAGAGCUCUUUGCUUUGGUUUGUACUCUGGUGCAUAGAUCUCAUGCUACUGAUUUCUCUGGCAUGCUCAAGAUUUUAUCUGGCUCGAUUUAGAUUUCUUCCCCAUGCCUUUUGUCUUUGCUUUCAAGAACCAGUUGAAACUUGAAAAGUUGACAUAUCUUUGAUCUUCUAGAUAUACCAAAGACGCAUCCACAACCUGGUCAUCCUGUAGUGACACAUACUACCUGCCUCCCAUAUCCAGUAUUUAGAGAAAAAUGAGCAGUCUACCAAGUCAUAAUAGCAUGUCCCACUAUUAUAUCAUUUUCUAAACCAAGAACAUGCAAGCUAGAGAAUGGUCUUAUUCCUAGACUGGAAAUUGGCCAGGUACCAUGUAUGGAAUAGAUUUGGAACUCAGUUUCUAAGUAAAUACCAGUCAAGUAUAAAACCGAGUAUAAAUGCAUGGCUGUGAAAGGUCCAUGACAUAAAGAGGUGUAUAAGACAUUGUUCAUAUGGCUUUUUUUUGGGGGGGGGGGGGGGGGGGUGUUUGUAGGAGGAAAAAAAUUCAACUUGGAACCAGUUAAGUUCAAUAGCCAUUUUCUACUACCUUCACAAAUCUUUAAGAUAAAUAACUGCAGAGAUAAUUUGAGAUCUUACUUUAAUUACCAAUUUACUUGUCCAUUUAGUGUGUGGUUUAUCUGGGUUAUUACAUUUAUGCUAAAGUAUGUUAUUCUCCACAAAGGUACCAGAUGUGCCAGAUAUAAUAAAGAAAGCAGAUACACCAUAGAUGCAACAGAAUAUGCAUCGAACAAGUGCCAGAAUUUGAAUAACAAUUGUUUGUUCAUUAGUUCCUUUUCCAUUCUUGAGUGUGAGGGAGUCAGCUUACUUAGGUGUUUAUACCCCAUAAGCACUAGAAACAACAUUCUUCAGUUAUAACAAGCAGGAUAGCUGAAAAACCUUGCAUAGUCAUCUUGAGAUUUUGUUUUUACCAUACAAAAAUUUCAUUCAACAAGAAGAGGAAAAUUUACAUUGCAUCAACUUAAUCUCAAGGUUGUACCAACAAUGAUUUCCAAUUAACAAAUAUUCCCUACAGCCAUUUUGCACGACAAUGAUCAAUACAUGAUGAGACCAGUAGCAUGGGUAGCCAAACUCUAAACAUUUGGAGCGGUUUGCAGGUAUCCAAGUCCAAAUUACUAGACUAAGAGAAUUAAACAUGCAUUAUUCCUUUCACUGGUUUCCACAUGGACUGAUUUUUCUCUGCAAUAUAUGAACAAUUCAUAGGGUGACUCAAGGAAACAGAAAAUCAUAACUCCUACUUAUAAUACAGCUUGAACUAUCAAACCUAAACAUGUGAAAAACAUGCGCAGCAUAUACCAAGAUAGAGCAAAGCAUAUGGAGGCAAAUGCAACGUACAUAAAAUAACAACUAGCUAGGUUUAUUACUGCAACAAUGAAAUACAAUUGUCACAAAACACACACACCCCUUUGAAAUUUUUUGUCUUUACAGAUAUCAUUUGGUUUCCUUACAGAGAAUCCGAAACAACACAGGGAUUUAAUAACCUCUCUUGCCAGUAGGAGUUCAAGCUAAGCAUCCAAGUUCUCCAUCUGAAUGCUGCUUUUGAGAGGCACAUACUCCCCAAGAUAUCCACCAAGAUGGUCAUAAAGAGCACUCUUAUCAAUUCCCUGAUGAUGAUAGCUCUUACAAACAUAGUAAAACACGCUUUGCACCAACAACCCCACAAGAUUGACAAUCACUAACACCCCAACCAAGAAUCCACCAACCAAAAUUCUUGGCAGCACACCAUAAGAGUCCCCACCAUGAACCACAAUUGAACCAAAAAGGGCAUUGAUCACCCCACAAAUUGCCAAAUACCCAAAAACAAGCCCAAAAGCAAUCCGGGUUCUGCCCUUGAGCAGCUCAUAGCUCUUUUUCAUAGCCGCAAAUCCAUAAACAGGCUCAAGAACAGACACCACACUAGCCAAAUGCCACAAUGCGCUUAUAUAAACAUGAACCACCAAAAACAGUACAAAAACAACCACCAUCGAAAACAAAAACAAAGGCACAUUUUCGGUAUCCACAGCUAUAAUCAGAAGCACAAGAAACCCGAUAAAAAUCACGUUAUAAAUCACCAUAGUGAGUGUAACCCACAUGAAAGUAACGAAAAGCCUCUUAAAAACAGAAGGGAUGGCUGCCAUUGUGGAGGAGAAAGACACAGGCUUGGAAGUGUAAAGCGAGGCAACAGUGAAGACUACAGCAGCCGUGGAAAGAAGGGAGAAGGCAAAGAGGAAGAUGAGGUAACAGAACUGAAAAGUCAGGAGCUUUGUCCAUUGGGAAGUGUGAGAACCAGCAGGGUCAGCUUGAAGCUGAGAAAGUAUGGGGUGAGUGAAGAGGGAGUGGGCUAAAAUGGCAAAGGAAAGUGGGAAGAUUAAGGAAAGCGUGAUGAGGUAAAAGGUUUUGGGAGAUUGUUUUGGUAUUGAAACUGAUUCUUUUAGGAUGUCUGGUAUGGUCAAGAAUUGGAGUUCUUCCAGAGACAGAUCCAUAGCUGUUUUCUGAUGUUGACUGGAUAGAUAAAUGGAUGGACGGAUGGAUGGAUUCUUGAGUUUUCAGAACAAAUAUAUGAAUUUGUCUGGAAAAUUACUGGGUUUUUCUUGAGUUUCUAUGUGGGGUUAAGUAAUCCUGGGAUCUGGAAAUUGGGUAGGAGGAAAGUAAAGGAGAUGAAGAAGAAAGGAAGAAACAAGAAUGAGCUGAAAAAAAAAAAAAAAAAAAAAAUUGGUGGUAUCAGAUAUGAGCUACUCCGCUAGUUUGCUUCUUGAUGGGAAUUUGGUUCACCGCCACUUGCAAACAGUCAAUUCCUUUGCGUGUUUUUAAUUGUUGGCAAGUAAAUUGUUCCCCUCGUUCAUUGAAGAAGUGCAUCAUUUUUGGAUAAAUUACACUUAAUUCCUCUAUAUUCAUAUGCUUAUCUUAGUUGGCACACUCAAUUUUGUUUAUCAGAACGAUUUAGAAGGGGAUUGACAUUCACAUUUUCACUCAAUAAAUAAUGGCUAACUGAGAAGUGCAAAUAUCACCUCUUAUUCAAAAUGGGUUCAUACUGAUUUUUCUGAUACAAUUAGUACACUAUGUCUACCUUUACCCUAUUCCUUUAAUUUUCUUGCCAUUUCAUUUUUUCAAGCCAAUAAUUUUAAAACAUUAUAUUACCUUGAAUGAUCCUUUAUUUACUUUAAUUCAUUGUCAAUUUUGGUGCAAAUUUUUAUCAUAAAUUAUUCACUAAUAAUGAGCUAUAGUAGGGUAUCUUUAUACAAACUACAAACAUUAGAUAGUCAAUUGAAUAUCCCUUAAAAAUAUAAACAAUCUAAUAAAUAACCUUUUUGGGUUAUGAUAGGUAAUUAGCUAUCGAUUUUUACGAUCAAAGUAUUACAAUUAUCUUCAUAUUCUUUUGCAGAGAAUGGUUGAAAAUUCAUUUAUUUUAUAAAUCAUUAUUAUAAAUGAAAACAAAAUAUAAUUAAGAUGUCACUAGUGAAAUAAUUUAUAUUUAAAAAUAAAGGAAAGACAAGCGGGAAAAAAUAGAGCGAAACAAAAGGAAAAACAACUGAAUACUUCUUUUAUGAAGGUUUUAAAAAGGGGUGAGAAGUCAUGACCAACAAAAUUGGAGGCACGAAGUGAGAUAAGGGCAUAAAUACAAGGGGGUUGAGCAUAAAGGUGUUAAUGGGCUUGGAGGCGAUUAAGACCCGAGGAAGCCUGGUCUGAAAUUGGGUCGGGCAAAUUGUAUAAGCAGUAAAUGUUGACCAAGUGGCAAAUGCUGGGAUCGACAUCAUACAAUGGACCAAACCGUACGUCGCUUUUUCCAUUGUGCGAGUGAAAUUGGGAGGCCUGCUAACAUUUCCGAAUGAUGGAUAAGGUUCUCAAUACUUAGGUUAUAAUCCGUCAUACCUAAUUUGUACAAUUGUAUAAUAGAAGUGCGUAAAUGCUGUUGACAUUUAUAAACGUCAGUUGUGUCAGAAUUACGUGACGUGAUUUUUUUUUUUUAAUAGAAUAGAUCGUUUGAUUCAAAUAAAUACACAUUAAUGGCAAAAAAUACACCCAACAAAUACGAUACAGAUACAUAUAAAUCUGAAAUCAAUAGAUAUAACAAAUCUAGCAAAAUAAUAAUUCAAAUAAAAAUAACAUUGAUACUCCUGUAUAUCUUUCAUUCGGAUGAAUCCUUGUAACCUAAUACAUCAAUGCAUGUCUGCUGACAAUCAAAUCUGAUUAAAACUUGUUCAAACCUAAAAAGAAAUUUAGAUCGGACAAUAAUGAAGAUAUUUCAAAUCUAAGAAAUUAGAUUCUAGAUUUACAAAAUCUCAAAUUUCACAAAAAUAAAAACCCAAAAAACGCACACACAGAAAAACCCAGAAGAGAGUAAAUCAAUGUUUGAAUUUAUUAUAUUUAUGACUAAAUCAUGACUAUAAAUUAUAGGGAGGGUCGUCUCUAAUAAGUAAUAACUCUUCCUGACGCUUGUUCGAAUGGCAUUAUGUAUACGAUGAUGAUGAUUAUGCAGUCAACGACUAAAGUUAGUCUAGUGAGAAUUGAUGAAUUCUUAAGCCCUUAUACCAAUGGCAUCUUAUUUUUUUCACCUUCUAAUUUCUUUCGGAGUCUUUCCCUUGUAUGAAGUAAAAAGAAUGCUCAUAUUUAGAUUUACAUGGUGUUAAUUUGUGAACUUGUGGAUAUAAUUAAGAAAGUUUAUUGCAAAAAAAAAAAAAUUAGGAUUGCCUGAAAAUUGCAUUAGAAGUUGGAAUAGUAGAAAAUAAAAACAGUUUCAGGUUCGACUUCUAGAGCAUUAUCUUCCAUUUUUUGUCUACAUCUGUUUCAUUUGGCUAUGUGUGUUUUCUGGAUGUGUGUGUGUAUGCGUGUUUUUUUUUUUUUUUUUUUUAAAUCCUGAUAUACCAUCUAAUAACAUUAACGAAUAAAUUUCUCUGGUAUCAUCUUGUUUUGAUUGAGUAUCCUUCUAUAGUCCUGGGUCACUUGUGUUUCCCAGACACCAAUCUGUUAAAUUCCGAAAAAACCAGGUUGACAAAUUCUGCAUUUUUUCAGUUAAAAAAAAAUUUUACAGUGUAAAUGGGAAUUAAAGACAUCUCACUUGAUACUCCUUUCCUUAGGGAUGGCGCGAGCACCCGCUCCGUGGGGGCUAAUGGAAUGGGGGGAGGGGGAAUUUUUUCCCCUCGUUAAUAAACGAGGCAAGGAGCAGAGGAGUAUUACCCCCGCUCUGCCAUCCAUUAGAAAAAUAAAAUGUUUGGGUGUAUAUAAUUGGUUAUAAAUAUAUUAUUAGUUAUAAGUAUUAUAUAAUGUAUAUUAGUAUAUAUAACAUUAAUAAUUAUACAUAUAUAUUAAUAAAAAUUAUUAAUUAGUUAUACUCAAUUUAUUAAUAUAUUUGUAUUAAAUUCCUAAUGACAAUUGAAGUAGGAAAUUAAAGACUUGAUGACCAAUGACAUGUUUUGGGAGGAUGAUUUUUAAAAUUCAAAAAUGAUAACUUGACCACUUUAGUUGUAUCUAUCUCAUCAUGUUGAAUUGUAUUCAAAUAACUUUUAUUUGAUUAUUUUUAUGAAUUUCAAUUGUAAAAUUACAAUGAAUAAUGACUUAAUUAUAUGUUAGCAUUUUAAUUUCUUGAUUUUUGAUAAAAUUUUCAUUAUAAUACAAUUAUAGGACAAAUUUUUAGUAGCUCCCACAGGGCACCUGUGGGGGAAGCGGCAUUGGGUGGGGGCAGGGGAGACUAGUGGACAGCCUCGUCCCCACCGCCGCCCCGUUACCAUUCCUGCCUUUUCCCUCAAACCAUUAAACUCAUCCCUCUCCGGCUCUCCCCCACAAAAUUCUGCAUUUGACUAGCCAAGAGUAGUAAUUGCAAUAUGUGUUUCCUUAAUUACUGUCGAAUAAAAUGUCACUUUCCUUAUCGUCAAGAAUCAAAAGACAACUCCGAGGGAAAACCCCAUGGCCAUGAUGAUUUUCAUGUUGAUCAUGAGUUCAUGACUCAAGAUCCAAGAACUUCUUUCCAUGCGAUCCAAUUUGACAAGGGUUUUUGGUAACUCUAAAAUGGAUUCUUAUAGUAUUAUCAGUCAUUAGUCACAAGGUUAGAUUUUGAUCCACUAGUUAUCUUAUUAUUUGUCAUAAGUAUGAUGUAUUAAACACUAGGAUAUGAAACUUGUAUGCUGAAUUCAAAAAAAAAAAAAAAAAUGCUUCUUUUAGAUAUUGUAAUGGAAACGAGAAUAUGAGCUUUUAUGACGAUGAUAAUUGGCAGAUUUCUUCACUGAUAAUAUUAUUAUCAUCCAAUGAUCUAAAUCUUAUUAAAAAAGUAUUCCCACAGUUUUUUGCUGCAACAUUCUGACACCAUACAAAAUUACUGGAUUUGGGGCAGUAUGACCGUCCCUGCACGGUUAAAAAUUUGUGCGGCUGAAAAUUGGCCCUCAAAAUUUUGUGCGGCUGAAAUAACACCAUGUAACUCGAAAUCCGCGCCAAGUGUGGGGCCCACCACUAUCUGUUGUGAAAAUACAUCCUGUGAAAAAAAAGUUACGCGCAGUUGAACCAAUGUUACGCGCAGUUGAAAUGAGCUAAAAUUGGCAGGGACGGUUGCAGGUGCAACCGUCCCUGCCCCGAGUCCAAAAUUACUCCAUGGUUGUCGCAUUUUAGAAAUGUGGCGACCCUAAAUGGGGGGCACAAUCUUGCAGAAUACCAAAAUUGUGAUGUUCUUUGAAUUCAUCAUUAUUUGUAGAAAUUCGCCCUACUAAUUGCUAUUAGGCUGUAUAAUUAAUAUCGACUCUUCAUUUUGUCAAAAAUUGUAAGGCCUAAUAGUUUUGGAAUGCAAAUAUACUAAUAUGGAUAUACGUUUGACCACACAAAAUUGGAGUUCGUUCUUCAAGAACUUUUGUGUGGGCAAAAUAUGAAGAGAAUUGGCCUAAUGUCUGUGCCGUUCUAUCAUAGCUAUUUCAUCCCAAAUUACCACCACAUACAAAUUCACACUCGCAGUUUAACCACGAAUUAUUGCUCUUUUUUUUUCAGAAAAAGAAAGAAAUCUUACUGGGCUUCUUUUUUUUUUUUUUUUUUUAUAGGAAAGUUGAUGUUAUGCCCAAAGAACUAGAUAAGAAAUCACCACCAUGAUAUGAUUCACACACACACACACAUAUAUAUAUGUAUGAUUUUGAACAACAAAAGUUACAAUCAAAGCAGAAAACGGAGGGACUUGUCAUUUCUUUCUAGCACUGAGAUCAAUCCAAAGAUAACAUAAAAAAGCUUAAAACGCCAUUAAUGAACUUUAUUACAUCAAGCUAGCCCAUGGCACCUAUUACAUGCAGAGCAAUUCUUGAUCAUGAGCUCAAGCCUUAGUCCUUUGCAGGUGGAGCAAAAGUAGGGGGAUUCAAGAAAGGAUUGGGAAAAGGGAAUAUUGGUGGAAAAGGAAAACUGGGAAAUCCAGGGAUUUUAGGGAAACCAGGAAGUGGAGAUAAACCACCUGGGGAGGGAGGUGGAAGGGGGAAAUUUGGGAAUGGGGAUGGAAAUGGAAAUGGAGGAAAAGGGAUGGGAAAAAGCCAGGUUGGGGUGUUAGGGGCACCAACAUUUCCACUGUCAUCUUUUACCUCCUCCAAAUUUCGAAGCUGCCGAGCACUGCAAAAAUUGCAAGAAAAAUUCAUGACCAAAACCAAGAUUACCAGAGAGAUGAAUUUGAGAGCCAUUUUUUGAGAGGAAAAUGCACCGAGGGGGAGAAGAAAAAGAGUGAGGCAGUGUAACUGGAUUCACCAGCAAAGUGCUUAUAUAGAGGCAAAUGCAGCUCUUACAUUUUCUCUGCCCAGGAAGUUUGGUAAAGAAAUUUGACCCUUUGGUUCCCUUGGUCACAAAAAUUAAUGUGCUUAACUGUAAGAAUUAUUGAGGUUAAAAGGAAGAUAAACUGUGUAAAUUGUGUUAAUGGAUUGCAUGAAUUCUUGAAUGCGUGUGGAAUUCACACUGUGCUAUUUGGCACAUACUAAUCAAACCCUCAACCAUAAAAGUUUGCAUUUAAUUUACGAGAUUGCAUUUGUUUGUUUACAUUAAUGUUUAUUUGACUGUAGCAACAAGAUGACAAAGCGCCACUAUGCCACCAAGAAGGAUUAAAUGACUGCUAUGUUAGUUAUGCGUUUUCUUGAAUUUGUUGUGUCAAAGAAGAAGUGUUCUAUAAUCAAUAUUUUGCUAAAAAAAAUGAAUUUUUUUUCACAGAGAUUGAAAUAUAAGAAGCAUGGAAAAUCUAGAAUGACUAUGAAUUGCUGUUACAACCGUUUACGUUCAUGGCGUUCAUCAGUGUUUGGGUGUUUAUAUACAUAUAUUUUUCACUUUCCUAUGUCAAAUAUAAUUAGUAAAAUUUUAAUAAACACGACGUUGCCAGAUUUCAAAAGUAAAUAUUUUAAAAGUCCAUCUAUGUACUAACGAGUGGGGUUAGCCUAACGGUCAGAGAAGAACUUUUAGAGUUUUUCCUUCUAUGAGGUUCAAAAUUCAAAUUUUGUGUAUGGCAGUUUAUUAAUGCUAGUAUGCUUGCCUAAUUUUAAUUUUGUGUAUGGCUGUUUAUUAAUGCUAAUAUGCUUGCCUACUUUUUAAGAUUACCGAUCGAACUUCUUGUGUAGGAAAUCCUUUACUAAUGCUAAUGUGCUUGCCUACGCAUUAAUAUGCUAAUUCUAAUGCUAAUGUAGUGUUGAGUCUGUGCAAUAAUAAAAACCUACUCAUAAGAAUAUUUAUUCCAAUAUAAUGGUAAGUAGGGUCGUCUCCACAGGAAUUAGAAGAAAAAUUUGUUUCUUUCCAAACAAAGCCAAUUAAGGAGGUUUUAGAAAAUUAAGAUUAAAAUAAAAUACUUAACGAAAAUAACAAUAAUUAAACGAAAGCAAAUUAAAUUUAAAUCAAGGAUCAACAAGCUCUAGUCAAGAAUAUAACUUCGGAAGUGGUUCAUGCAACUGUUCUUCGAUGCAAGAAUUAUUUCAUCUAUUCGAUAAUAAACAGGUUAUGGUUGUCAAACAAACGAUGACAACCAACUUUUUAUCGUCUCGAUAGUUAAGGUACGUCUGCUAGUUACUUCCUUAACAAAAAAAUAACUCUAGAUAAACUCGUAAAAUUUAAUUUCUUGAUUGCAUUAGAAAUUAGAAAAUUCAUGUUCUAAUUAAUGAACACACUACCAAGAUUCAUUCAAAUUAGAUCAUAUGUCUCCCUAACAUGAAACCAAUCACGCUAGUCGCUACUAAUUUAAAACAAUUAAACAAUUAUAGAUUUAACUAUCCUAAUUGACAUUAGUUUGUCAAGUUGAAUUAAAUAUCGAGCUUUUGAUAUUCAAACAACAAAAACACCCAUGAGAAAUUAAAUCAGAAAACAUACAAAACGAAAACAAUUAGAUCUCACAGAUGUAGAUGAAUCAAAUCCUUUGUUAUUUCUCAAUUAGAAAAGAAAACUUAGUUGCGCAUGGCCAAUUAAAACAAUUCACCCUAUUUUUCCAAAGCCAUUCGCACAGUGUUUGAUAAAAGAAAAACUAAAGAAACGAAAAGAAACAUGUUGCCCUCGUUUUCUUUUUCCUGAUCCAAAAGUCACCACCCCCUGUUUCUUGCCUGAGACUAAUCACAUAAAGAGUCCAAAUGCAAUUCUCUAUCUUUUCGGAAGUACUAAUCACUCAGGAAUCCGGCUUUUCUCUCUUCCCAGUUUGCUAGUUCCUGUCAACUACUAAUAAUAAAGACGUGUUUUCUAAAUAGAAAAGAUACUACAAAAGAUAAUCUUCUAUAGGGUUUGUUUGGAUUGUAAAUUAUUUGAGAUAUUUUUACUGUAGCACUUUUGUGAUGUGAUGCAUAUGAGAUAAAAAGAUAAUUGAGAAGAUAAAAAGCUGUAUUGAAAAUUGUAAUGGUGAUGUAAGCAAAUAUAUUUGGGAAAAUAACCUACUAUCCAAACAAACUCGAACUAUAACUAAUAAAGAAAAUCAAAGUCUUCCAAAUCUUCACCCAAAAGCUAUCCGAAGUUCUACUCGGACUUGGAAAUCCCCGUGUGCAAAUUCCAAAUCAUCUGGACUCGAUAGCAAUUCUUGAAAAAUCAUCAAUUUUAUCACUUUUUGCUCCACUUCCCUACGAUUAGCACCAAAUACCAAAUAUAAUUAAAAUCUACCUAAUAAUGCAAUAUUUGGCAAAUACCGAGGGGAAAAUAAUCAUAAACUGAAUAACAAUUUUGCAACCUAUAUCACCUACACAUUAAUAAGCUAAUGCUAAUGUACUUUUUCAGAGUACUGAACUUCUUGCGUAGAAAGUCCUUUACUAAUGCUAAUGUGCUUGCCUACGCAUUAAUAUACUUGCCUACUUUUUAAGAUUACCAAACUUCUCGUCAAAAAUCGGAUUAGUAAAAUAGAAACAGGAAUACAAAACAAAGUUGAUAAAAAAUAAUAUAAGAUUGAUACAGUGUCUAUACAUGUAAUUCCUUUGGAAGUUUUAAAAAAAAUACUUCUUACAUGCAUUUCUAAUAAUACUCUUCUUUUUUUAGUCAGAAACAUACGCAUCACAUCAUAUAUAAAUAUUACUGAAUAAUACCAAAAAAAAAUACUUUUUAAAAUGAUUUUCAAUCAAAAUCUUCCUUUCAUGUUAUAUAUUGUCUACUUUUUUAUUUAUUUAUUUUCUGAUGUUGUUGAAAGUGAAAGGAUUCAAAGGGAGCAUAUUUUGGCAUUCCAGUGAGUGUUAUUUAGGCCUGUCAAUCGGGCCUAAUGAGUCGGGCUUUGAUGAGCUCAAGCUCAACUCAUUUAAUUUGAAACAUUUUCGGACUUCGGACUAUGAGUUUCGGGUUCAUAAAUGUGAAGUUCAUACUCAACUCACAUAAUAUUCGGGUUGUGAGCCUUAAUCGGGUUUAGCCCAAGCUCACUUAUUACUCCUUAAUUUUCUUCAUAUAAUUACUAUAACUAUUAAGUUGUUAAACUAAUUUAACAUUUACAAGACUAUAAUAUUAAAACUAAACAUGAACAAAUAAUAGUUCUUAAAAAGUAUAUAAACCAAAAAUUUUUUCAACAAUAUUUAUAUUUAAUUCGUUCAAAAUGCAUGAAAAAUAGUAAUAAAACAUGCGAUCAUAAGCCAAUACAUCUUUAAAAGUUGAAACUUUUUUUAUAAUCUUGUGAUUUAAAUCCAAAUAUGCUUGAUGAUUUUUGUGUUUGUAGACCAAAAAGAAAUUAACCAAUAUUAUGCCAGUACAAAAAUUUACUCAACCAAUAAGAAAAGUUAGAGAUUUAGUUAUGCAUUACUAAUAUUGGCUCUCAAGAAAGCUCAUGAAAGAGUCUUUAGAUAUAUUUUUGUGUUUUGUAAUUUAUAUAUAUAUUUAGUAUUUAGUAAUAAUAUAUUUGGAUAUAUAAUUAUACAUAAUAUCAAAAUAUAAAUAUUAUAUAUAUAGGUAAUUAAAGGACCGGGCCUAUAUCGGGUUUGAGCCUAAUAAGGCUCAAGCUCGGCUCAUAUUUAAUUCGGACCUUUUUUUAGGCUCAAGCUCAGCCCGACUCACUAAAUGAUCGGGCUCAUCGGGCUUUUUAUCUGGCCGAACGAGCCAAGCUCGGGUUGGUCCAGCCCCAUUGACAGUCCUAGUGUUAUUACUAAUUCGACAUGUUACACCUGCUCAAUAUGAAGAAGUAGAAUUUUUUUCUCAUUUUCCACAAAAUAUUACAUUUUGUUUGGAUUGUAUUUUUUUUGAAUUAUUUGUAAAAAAUUACUGUAGUAAUUUGAUAUAUGUGAGGUAAAAAAGUAAUUGAAAAAUGUGUUCACGAAGAACGUAACAAUUUUCCAUUUCAUCUGUUACUUAAUUAUGAUAUACCAUUAGAUAAUAAUAAGUACCAUUGGGUACACAAAUUAAGUAACCACUAGCCAUUUGGGUUGGUGGCCACCACCAAAGACUUUAAAUUUUGGUAGGUGGGAGGUCAAGUGUACACAAAUUAAGUCGGAUGUUGAGAGAGUUUAUUGCCCUAAUUAUCUAAGUGAUAGUAAACUCCUUUUCUAACUUUCUGACCUUAUUACAAUUAGCUAAAGACAACAUGCUGCUAAUUCAUAGCAAAACAUGCAGAAAAAUAUUCCGCUAGCAACAAUAAGCAUAACAAAAAAAAAAAAAAAAAUCUUCAUGCGGAUCUUUCAAUCAAUUGAUAAUAAAUCAUUUUUCUACUUCAAAGAAAAAAAAAACAAUAAGCAUAACGUAGUACUCAAAAGUGAUGGGAAAAAUCAAACAGAAUCACUUUUUUGAUAUCUCAUUAUUUGGAAAAAUUACUUUGUCUACAUCAUGUACACGUUUCUAAUCAUAUUUUUAUCUUUCCAAUUAUUCCUAUAUUUUUAUAUCAUAUACAUCACAUCACAAAAGCGCCACAAUAGCAUAGUAAAUUCUUUUUAUUUUUUUUUCAAAUAAAGACGUACCCAGGCACUUAUUUGGUAGGAAUUCUGUUGGCUUUAGUUCACCUCCAAAAUCAAAUGUCUGUUUGUGAAUUACUAUUCUAUACGAAAAACUCAUAUAAAGGGUCUAAUUAAUCUUUAUUGGGCACAAUUUGUAGAGUUUCACCCUCCCACGGGGCAUUGGUUUUUUCAGACUUGAAAUUCAAUCGUAAAGUAAGAGGGAUCGUAAGUAGGAGGUUCUGGAUUUAAAAUCCCCCACUUAUACAAAAAAAAAGAAAAAGAAAAAGAAAUCUGAUUAUUUACUUGCAAUUUGGAUUAGGAAUAUUUUCAAUUUUUCGCAUCAAGAACAAGGGCAGAAAAUCUCUGAGUAACGAUUAAGUCCAGAAACAUCAAUCCUACACUACAAAUAUUCAUCAAAGACUCCAAAACAUAAAAGAGGUACGGUUCAGAAGAAUUAAUCUUACAUUAAGAUUAUUAAUGAAAAUAUCAGUUAGGUGCUCCCAAAUUAUCAACUCAACAAAAACUUGCAAAGUUGCAUUCCAAAGGUGAAAGGUAAAAUCAGAAAAGAAACUUCACAAUCAAAUCUAUUUCAUCACAGGUGUAUAUAGUCUUCAACAGAUUCGAUUCGUUGAAAAAUAAAAUUACCAUAAUCCCAAAGCAUCACAGGAGCCAUAAUGCAUUUCUCAAAGCCAGUCAGUAGGUAAUAAAAUACUGGUGUUUCAUAGCCUCUCUCAUUUUUCCUUAAAAAGGAGAAAAAGAGGGGGAUGUUUUGGGGGGGGUUGGGGGUGGUUUGGGGAGAGCAAACAUAAAAACGUCUUAUUCUGGUGUAAAAGAAAUGCACUACAGCAUGUUAUGGAAUGCACUUUAAGGAUUUGUGCAUCUCCUAGACCAGAAGAAGUUCACUUGUUGCUUGAGAAAAGAUGAUCGACUAGUAGUUAACAAGGUUGAAGUUCACCUGACAAAUUACAUUUACACCAAUUGAACGUGUAACAAAGAUACCAAAAUUCUACCAUGUUUAGCCCUUUCAUAUCUAUCGUGAAACAAAAUCAAACAGUGCUAUGAAUAUGCACUAAAAUUAGCUAGAAAUCACAAUAGGAAACUAUGGAAGGGAAAAAUGAAUUUAGCCUACAA
This 45403-nucleotide long non-coding RNA is filed under the name Coffea arabica (coffee). RNAcentral describes it as "long non-coding RNA (CARA_LNC006481)". Lineage: Eukaryota; Viridiplantae; Streptophyta; Magnoliopsida; Gentianales; Rubiaceae. The record is from RNAcentral.